This 64497-nucleotide long non-coding RNA is filed under the name Sorghum bicolor (sorghum). RNAcentral describes it as "long non-coding RNA (SBIC_LNC011639)". The record is from RNAcentral. Lineage: Eukaryota; Viridiplantae; Streptophyta; Magnoliopsida; Poales; Poaceae.
GGGAGAGGGGUAUUUAUAUAUUUUUCUUCUGGGGAAUACCCUUCCUUGUUUCUUAAAUCAGUUUCCAUAUUUUCUUUGCCGUUUCUUAAUAGAAGGUUUAGAGCUUUUCUAUAAGAUAUUAUUGAUGCUGGUCUGUGUAUGUGUAUGUGUAUGCUUUUCCUAGGCCUGAAUGCCUGAUGCUUAGUAGUAUUGCAUAAGGCCAAGGGAAGCUGUACACAUUUUUCAUGUGCAAGGCUACCCAAUUACAAACAUAUGGGAACUAAUAAGUUACUAUGUUUCUAGGUGUCAGCAUUUCGGGAGAGUAAGUCGGACGAUAGGAGAUUCUACAUAUUUUCCCCCACCAAGACGCUUCACUUGAAGACGGACUCGAAAGAUGACCGUGUUGCCUGGAUUGAGGCCUUGAUCCUGGCAAGGAGUGUUUAUUCUCUCGGGUCACUCAGUGGGAGAGUAACUUUCGUGCAGAGUGAUGCUUCGAUUUCAACAGCAAGGCUUAGAGAUCGAAUGCAUCAGGAGGGUCUGAAUGAGAGUCUUAUACAGGACUGUGAACAGAUUGUGCUUUCUGAGUUCUCAAGCUACCGGAAGCAACUGAAGCGGCGUUACGAGGAUUACUUAAGCUUGUUUGGAUCCUGCAGACAUCAUUUUGAGGUAAGAGGAGCUGCAUAUAUUCUCUUUACGUGUUCACGACUUUGCACAACGGUGUCAAGUACUGGCAUCUGGUCAUUACUUUGCACAAUUGUGAUAAGUAGCAGCAACCGACUUGAUGCCUGAAAGUAAAAAUGUGUCUAUAUAACUUGUGGCUUCUUAAAUUCCUGCCAAUCAGCAUAUCUCAUGUUGAAAUAGUAGUAGUUAUAUAAGUUUGCAAAGGUUACUCCUUGAAUGGUUACUCUCCUCUUUUUCCUGCAGGAAUUUUACAUAGUGUAUUACACACAUAUUUGUGCAGGAAGGUAAAGAUGGAAGUAUAACACAGGAGGCAUUGACAAGAAAUGACUUCUCUAGUUCUCGGCAUGGAAAUUUUAGCGGUAUGAUUUUAACACAUACUGGGCUAUUUCCAGCACUAGACCAGCUACAUGAUGUACUUGUCUGUUUAUCGUGUCUUUCACUCCUUGCAUGUUUGUGUUUCCAAGUGCCCUAGUAAUUUUGAACUCCCACAUUUGUUUCCUAAGAAUUAACAUCUUGCUAAUGGUACAAUUGUUGUUCUUGCCCAGAAUAUAGCACCACAGAAUCUGAUGAGCAUGAGUUUGAGAAGCACGAUGGAGGUGAAUUGACUUUUGAAGAUGAAUCUACAUUCUUUGAUUCUGUAGACUACUUCACAGAGUCAGACAACAGAUCGUCAACCAUGUUAAGCAGUCAGGAAGUUGUGGAUUCCCAAACACAUGAUUCCACUAACAACAUAGUGCCGCAAAUCAGACGACGGAUUAGGCUGCCUGAGCCUACUGAGAAAGAGAAAGGGAUCAGUCUCUGGUCCAUUAUUAAAGAUAGUGUUGGAAAGGAUUUGACACGAGUUUGUCUUCCAGUUUACUUCAAUGAACCACUCUCAUCCCUUCAGAAGUGCUUUGAAGAUUUGGAAUAUUCAUACCUCUUGGAUCAAGCAUAUCAACAUGGAAAAGUGGUAAGAUCACUUUCACACCUUUGGUAUUGCACGUGUCUAAGGAAUUUCAUCUGCUUUCCAUGAGUGGCAGAGAUCAGUGAAAUAAUUUCCAAUCCCUUUUCUUGUUCAUGACUGCAUCAGAGUUCAAAUCAGCAAACUCAAUCUUCAAAUGUGAUUCUGAUGCAAAAUAAAACUAGAUAUGUCAUAUCUGCUGAUCAGAUUACAUAUUAGUAUCUGUUGUGAACCCAUAACAAUUGUGAUGUCUAGUAUAUCAUAUCACUAUUGUUCAAGCAGUAUACUCUGCUAAUAAGCAUUGCAGUUUACUCAUUCUUAACAAGUGAAAGGUGUUUUCAGAGUAUUAUAGUUGUAUCUGUUAGUUUUGUUCAGCUACGCUGUACAAUGUCACUUGUGAGUUAGGGAAAUGCUGCAGUUGUGUAUCAACAUAUAACAUGUUUCUAAUACCAUGCAUAUUGCUAUCUUAUAAGAACUUUUGCUCAUUUAUAUCUUAUAUUUGAAAUCUAGGGGGACAGCCUCAUGAGAAUUCUCAAAGUAGCUGCUUUUGCGGCCUCUGGUUAUGCUUCAUCUGUUGCAAGACCUUGCAAACCAUUCAAUCCAUUGCUAGGAGAGACCUACGAAGCUGAUUACCCUGACAGAGGAGUUCGUUUUUUUGCAGAAAAGGUUAGUUAAAGACUCUUUAUUCAUCUUAUGCAAGAGAUGGUGUCUGGGUCUCUGUGGAAGGAUUUAUGAGAAACAUUAUAGUUUUACUAAGUAAAUGAAGCUUUUUAUUUUAUUUUAUUUUCUAUUUUUUUACUGAUGUAUAUCCAUUCCAAAGUAUUUCUGAUAGAGCUAUGCCCCUUUGUCUACCUUUUUACUGAUCAUCCAUAUCUUACUUUGUGGUACUUUGAAUUGGAGACUUUUAAUUUCAUUACGUUGCUGUUCAACAUUUCCACCAAUAGGUUAGUCAUCAUCCAAUGCUGAUUGCCUGCCACUGUGAAGGCAAGGGCUGGAAAUUCUGGGGCGACAGCAAUGUCAAAUCCAAGUUUUGGGGGCAGUCAAUUCAAGUUGAACCAGUUGGCACUUUGACUCUGGAAUUUGAGGAUGGUGAAAUCUUCCAAUGGAAUAAGGUGUCCAGCACAACUGGAGAUACUAAUUUUGCUGAUUGAUAUUAUAAGUUUCUUCUCAUCAUAACUAAAUUCUUAUCAUAUUGCCUUUUCAGGUCACAACGACCAUUCACAAUCUCAUUCUUGGGAAGUUGUACUGCAGCCACCAUGGAACCAUGCACAUAAAAGGGAAUCGUCAGUAUUCAUGUAAACUGAAGUUCAAAGAGCCAUCACUUCUUGACCGGAAUCCUCAUAUAGUAUGUUUCGCUUAGUUCCUUUCUUUGUACUGUUAAGUGCCAACUCAAAUAUUACAAUUGUUAACAAGGGAUUUAGAGCCCACACGUGUUUUCCUCUGAGUACAUUACCUUCUGACCAAUCUGUGGUUAACUCAUUAUCUUCUUUUGUGCUGUUGGCAUUUACAUAUGAAGAGUUUUGCAUAAUUAUCAUGCUCUUAGCAUCUGACAAAUAAACUGUGGGAAAGAUGCAAACCACUUUUCAUUGCAAGAUUUCAAACUCUUGGCCUGGGGUCUCAAUAUGUGUGGCUGAGUUAGCAUCCAUUUGACCUUUGAUCACUUGGGGCAAGUGGUUCUCAUUGUGCUGAUGAUAUAAUUUGGACUGAGUUAGCAGUGAUUUACAAAUUUUGUUAUAUACUUACUGACCCUAGGUUACAGAAACUUAUAUUUCCCGUCUUUUAUGUGUGACAUCUGAGUUGUAAUUUAAUUCAAGUGCUAGCAUAUUUUUUAGCUGUAUGUCUCUUUCAUCCACUGCAUUAUGUUUAUCUGUUGCAUGCACUUUGUCCACAGGUACAAGGCUUUGUAGAGGACAAUAACGGGAACAAAGCUUCGUUUUUGAUAGGGAAGUGGGAUGAAAGCAUGUAUUGUAGUGAUUCUGAUACUUUCAAGGUGAAGAGCGCCGAUCAACUGAAAGGUGCCUCGCUGCUGUGGGAAAAGAACAAACCUGCUCCUAACCCAACACGAUAUAAUUUGUCUUCAUUUGCGAUCACACUGAAUGAGUUAACCCCAGGGCUGCAGGUAUGGUUUACAUGUGAUUGCCACAUAAGUGUUUCGUUAUCAGAUUUUGUCCUAAUUGCUUGGUCAUUCCUGGAUUCAGGAGAAACUUCCACCUACUGAUUCACGGCUGAGACCAGAUCAGCGCCACCUAGAGAAUGGUGAAUACGAGAAGGCGAAUGCAGAGAAGUUGAGAUUGGAACGACGACAAAGAAUGGUAUCCUCUCUGGCUUUCUUCGUAAAAUUUAGAAUUGACUUAGAGGAUCUUUCUGAACAAUUUUGGAAGAAGUUGAGCCUUUCGUAGAUCACAUUCCCAACAUGCCGUUUCGUCCUAUUUGUGUCAUUGCAGUCUACGAAACUUCAAGACAAUGGCUGGAAACCCCGGUGGUUCGAACAGGACACCGAGGACGGGACGUAUCGCUACAAAGGCGGAUACUGGGAAACAAGAGAGAAGGGCUGCUGGGAUGGGUGCCUCGACAUAUUUGGGGAAUUUGUCGAAACAUGAGCAUCCUGUUCUUUUAGCAGAAGAGGUUUAAGUAGCCAACACGCGUCAGGUAACGCUAUUCAGAAACAAUGGAGCACUGCCAUCUCCAGUGGAGCAUCCUCUUGCUGAAGAAGAAAAGGGGGAGCCUUGUGCGAGGAGUAGAGCAUUGGAGACGAAGGCAUUGCCAUGAUGAACUGAAUGGUAGCAUAGUAUAUGAUUGGCCACGGAGAGGCAUUGCCAGCCUGUUAGUAUAGUAGUAUAGUUCCAAUGCAAAUAAGAAUGCUAGUAUUCAUUCUUUGGUUCCUUGUGUUGAACAUGGAUCUGUUGUUGCUGAUAGGCUACCUGGUGUGGAAGAGAUUUGCUUGCUCGGCUAGGCAAAAGUCUGCCUGCCCAUGUAAUGUUUUUUGCCGAUUGCAACCGGGACUGGAAAAAAACAUCUUCUGUAGAGAAGAGAGACAGUAAACUUACAUGAUCCUGACAUAAUUCAGCAAACAAUCAUUACUACCUUAUAUUCCAUCUCUGGUGGACAAUAUCUUCAUCUUCAAAUCAAUAUCAACCACAUAGAGUCUAUUCGCUUGGCAGAAAAGUCAUAGCUGAAAAUACUGUUCGUAGAUUUAGUGGAUAAGCUCAAUCAAACAGGCUCAUAGAUACUGACAUUAUUUUCCUAGCAAAGCUCACUACCAUUCUCUUUUUCGUGGAUCCUUGGAAUUAAAUUUAGUCUAAUAAAUUAUAAUUUAGGCACAUAUUAAUUAAGCUAAUAUGUUUAUAUAUAGGAUAUAUUUGUACACUAUUGUUAGCCAUGUAAGAGAGACUCUUAUAUGUUGUAUUUCUACUAUAGGAAGCGAGUUAAAAAGUGUGUUAUAAGGUGUUUUUUUUUGAGGAAGGAGUGUGUUAUAAGUUGAAGAGUAGAAACAUAACAUGAUGAUCUAUAAAAUCAAUUUUGAUCUCUCAUUCUAUGAAUUUGAGAUAAGAUUAUACAUGAACUUUGUAAAGUUGUGGAAUCUCACAUUUCAACCCAAAUUACCUAAUCCAUUAAGUAGAUUUCAAUUUCUCUGAAAUGAAACGAUCGAAACGGCCCUAAGUGAAAGGGCUUUCCCUGCUUUUAUAGAAGGUAUUCAGCAUAUAUCGGUUUUACAAUUUACAUACUACAGAAACAGUGCAGUGAAGCAGAAAUACAAGAGACGUAUAACCCCAAAAGUAAACUGCUACAUACUACACCACCACCAAAACACAGUAUACACUUGAGAAGAUCAGAACCAAAGCGAGUCUUUGGAGGUGUGGGGUGUUAAAGUUUAACAUACACCGUAGCAUUUUCGUUUUAUUUGGCAAUUAGUGUCCAGUCAUAAACUAAUUAGGCUUAAAAGAUCCAUCUUGUAAAUUACUCUCUAACUGCGUUUUUAGUUUUAUAAAUAGUCUAUAUUUAGUACUCUGUCCAAAUAUUUAAUAGGAUAGGUGUUAAAAACAAACGGAAGGAACCAAACAGGCCCUUCAUCCUCCUCUUGAUUCUUCACUUCAAUGAGACUGACAGUUGGUCAUCCAUCCAGAAAGGAGAAAGCCACCCUUUGAAUUCAGGGGAAAAUAUUGGACGAAGGGUUUUCACGAUUGUACCAAGAGGGUAAUUUGCACCCAAUAUUUUCUCUAUUUUCCCUGAAUUCAGAGACUCUAUUUCUAACUAGAGGCCCUCAGCAACAACUGCCAUUUCGGAAGGGAAAAAAAAAAGGAAAACUUGAGCAGACAAUCUUGGUGGCAACAGCCGAACUGCCGAAGAGACCACUGUCAUUCAUUUAUGCGUUUAUUUCUUUGAUUGCAUUGCAUCUUGUUUCGUCGUCGACACUGUGUUUUCGACACUGUUUAUUUCUCCUGCAUGCUGCCUGCUGCUGCUGUGCACGGCGGGCGGCGCAGUCCCAGUCCCAACCAUUAGGGGAGGCGGAGCUGCUCCUCCAGAUGAAGCGUGCAAGGGGCGACCCCCCGCCCCGCCCGUGCUCGCGGCAUGGAAUUGGACCGCCGGCGCCGCCACCUCGGCCGCGGGCGCGCACUGCCGCAGGCCAUACGCGGGGUGCGACCCGGCGGCCCUCGCCUGCAUCGACUGACAUCACACGCCUUGACACCUCUCUCCAACAACAACAACAUCACCGGCCGGCGUGUUUUCCGACGGCGCUCGGUCUACCGCUCCAGUACCUCGACCUGUCCUACAACUACCUCCAAGGGGAGCUCCCUGAUGACAUCGGCUAUGGCCUCGGGGCAAACCUGAGUACGCUGGAUUUCGGCCUCAACAAGUUUAGGCCUUAUCCUUAACUAUUUUACGAAAUGGUAAGAUUCUACAUCAUAUUAAAUCGCUACUCUCUAAAAUAGAUUUGAUAAAAAAGAUAUUAGAGUACUCCAAGGAUGGCUAGUUAGAUAAGUUAUGCAAAUGUAGAGAGCGAAUAAGUUGGGAUGAAGUGCUACUAAAUUUAAAGGGUCAUUUACAAAGUCCGUUGGAGACGUUUUUCCUUUAACAAUAGCCAAAUUUACGUUUAGAAAAUGAUUUGGCUAAUCUAUUGGAGAUGCUCUUACGGUAAAUGCAUAGAGCACUAAAUAUAGAUAACAAAAUAACUAAAUAUAUAGUUUCUCUGUAAUUUACGAGACAAAUUUUUUGAGUCUAGUUAGUUCAUAAUUGGACAAUAUUUAUGAAAAACAAACGAAAUACUAUAAUGUCUAUUUGCAAUUUUUUUUCAAAUAAACAAGGCCUUAAUGGAAGCAUCCCGGCUUCUUUCUCUAGUGUUGACUGGCCAAUCACCUUGGCUGGUACCGAAGUUGGGGAAGAAUGGUGACGGCGUUUUGGUCGAUCCAGCGUCCUCUUUAGAUUGAGAUGAGAGUGUUGGGGGGGGGGAACUUCUGUGUUGUGUCGUUACUCAAAGAGAAGCCGCGACCCUUUUUAAUAUGACAUUGGUCGACUCGGGGCCGCAACCAUUGGUUGGUUUGGCGGUACCGAUCAUCGCGCGUACGUGGGAUUCCCUCACGAGCCUCCGACUAACUCGGCUAGGGGAAACAGUCUUUGACUCCGUAUCCCUUCAUAACGGCUCGAGCCCGAGAUCACUUAUGUGUUAGUCUCCAAUAUUCUCCUCUUUGAUCGAAUGACAUCAUCAUAAGUCCACACUCAACAGGAUGAUGUACGAAAUACUAUGAUACAGAAGUUAGGAAAAUUGCCACUGCAACACAAGCAUCAACAAUAAACCAAACCACUUCGAUAGGAUGAAACUUAAACAUAAUAGGAGUUGGUUGUGUUAUGACCCUUAUCCAGGAUCAUUAGAGGCUUUCUAUUAAACCUAUGCUGGUAACAUGUUCAUUAAAAAUUCUGGAUGAUAAACUUUUUGUUAGGGGAUCCGCUAACAUCAGUGUCGUACUAAUGUGCACUAUAUCGAUAGUUUGAUCCUGGAUUCUAUCUUUCACAACAAAAUAUUUUAAUAUUAAUAUGUUUGGCAGCACAUGUGAUAUCAUACGGAUAAAACAUGAAUAUUAUUUUCUCAUUCAUUAAAUUCUAUUAUUCAAUGCACCUAUGAUUCAAACUUGCAUUUUCCAAAAAAAUCAAUUUAAUAAAAAAAAAAUAAAAGAAAUAUAGCUAACAUAUCGAGAAAUGAGCCAAAUUUGAACAUGCACUUCCAAGUACCAUGUAAGGAUAAUUAAAAAAGUUUGGGAGCAAAAAUAAAAACAAUAAAAAAAGCUUUGCCGAGUGUCAUUUAUCGACACUUGGCAAAGAUUAAUAGUAGGUGAUGACGUUCAGCUGUCGUCAUCUCUUUGCUAAGUGUUAGGCUUUACCGAGUGAUGAAGACCAGACCCGAUCUUUCGAGAGGUAACCAGUAAGUUCGAUUUGUGGAGACAGCAAGGUUUUGGACAGUGCUACUGCUGCUGCUGCUCUUCUUCAUCAACUUCUUUGUAUCCUGAAAUUCAGUAGGUUGUAAGGAUGUCAGGGUGCUGCGCAUCCUAGCUUUGUGCGGCCCUUCCCUUUUUUUUCCUCUUUUCUUUUUACUCUUCUUCUUCCUUUUUCUUUUAGUGUUAGCUCCCCUCUGUCUUCCUGAAUGGUUUUUGCUACAAUUUUGUUUAUUUUAAUAAAGUGUUGUAGGGGUGCAAACCCCUCCGGUUUCCCUUCAAAAAAGAGGUCGAGUCCUGUAAAGGCUGGAGAGACUGAGAAAGUUAAUUUUGCCCUUAAGGGCAUGUGCUUCCACUCUCUCUACCACUGGAUUCGCAUUGAGAAGUGUGCAAACACACAUCUCAAUGCGAAUCUGCUUUGAGAUGUGUGUUUGCACACUUCUCAAUGCGAAUCCAGUGGUGGAGAGAGUGGGAGCAUAUGUCCUUAAGGGCAAAGAAAACUGCGUUCAGGAGAGACCGACAACAGUAUCCAUCGUGAUGUUGCUUCUGGAGAGAGCGAGCCUUGUGACACGUCCGGCCGAGCCGCACCGCACGUAUGGCCAGCGGCAGUGCGUGCCGGCGGCCGAGGUGGCAGCGCUCCAAUUCCAUGCUCCGAGCACGGGUGGGGCGCCCCAUGCACGCUUUAUCUGGGGGAGCAGCUCCGUCCGUCCACCAGUGGUCCGGAUUGCACCGCCGCGCACGAUAGGAGGCAGUAGGCUAGCAUAGGCAGGAGGAGGUGGGAAGCGUACAAGUAGGCUCGCUUGGCACCGUGGAGAUGGAGUUGCCACUACUAGAAACUGGGUUUUUGCCUAGUGCAAAAGGCUUUACCGAGUGCCAAAUGUCGUGCCGCACUCGGUAAUGAAAAACACUAAACAAAGGAUCUUUUGCCGAGUGUCAGGCGCUCAAAAAGAUUAGCACUCGGCAAAGAUAAUCUGUGCCGAGUGUUAGGCAUUCGGCAAAGCCCGACCCUCUGCAAAGAUGGCGAGGUGACAGCCGUCAGUCUUUGCCGAGUGUCGCCCGUCUAGCACUCGGCAAAGAGUUUUUAUUUUUUAAUAAUUUCUUUGCCGAGUGUCUUAGUCCCCGCACUCAGCAAAGAUUUUUAUUUUUUUUAAUUAUUUCUUUGCUGAGUGCCCUAGUGGAAGACACUGGGCAAAGCCAUCAUUAAUGGUGAAACUACCAUGACGGUGUCUUUUCUUUGCCGACAAUUUUUUUGCCUAAUGGUCUUUGCCAAAUGCAAUUAGACUUUUGCCGAGUGCCUAGGGCACUAGGCAAAGACCCAGUGUGUGGUCUCUUCUAUCUUUUGACGAUCGCGAUGAAGUGGAGGUAGGAAAAGGGGUGCUUUCAGCUGGGGUUCAUUUUCAGGUCGUGAUAUAAUGAUCUUUCCAACAACCACCGGAGUCAUCGCCCGAGACUUGUGGAGACUAAACCGUUCCAGGGCCAGAAAUGCAUAACCGAAUGGGCACUAAGUGGUCACCACCUCAUAGGAGACUUGGAAAGUAGUAGUCGGUGGUCAACCAAGCAUGAAACACGAGUCCUUCCUCCUGUACCUGAUUUGCCAACUGACAACGACGAAACAAGAUUGCAAAGCAACCACAACACACGAUGAAUGAUGUGAACCUAAAACUUGAUGUUGUCUCUUUCGGCUCUUGUAAUUGUAACCUGAGCGCUUUGGAAUUGUAGAAAUAAAAUCAAGUCUUGUACAAUUUUUUCCCCUUUUGCAGAAGUGGCAGCUGUUGCUGAGGGUUUCAGUUAAAUGGAGACAGCUCAAGAGUGGCUUUCUGGAUGGAUGACGAACUGCCAGUCUCACUAAAAUUGAAGAGUUCUUAUGUUUCUGGUGGUCCUGUAGUUCGCCUAUUGGGGGGCCAGCCCAGAGUGCCUGCCUAGUGUUUCUGCUUCCCUCUGUUCUCAACUGUUUAUAAGCUUAUUAGUUAAUGCCUUCUAUAAAAGCAGGGAAAGGUCUUUCACUAAAAAAAAGAGAUGAUGGCAGUAAGUUCUGCUAGGAUCUUAAUGUUAAGAUCUGUGCGGUUGAUUUCCAAGAUGAAGAGAUAUCCACCAGAGAUCGGAAAGAAGUAAUUGUUUGCUGAAUUAUGUCAGGAUCAUGUAAGUUUAGUAGUUUACUGCCUCUUCUUUUCUACAGAAGGUGCUUUUCCAGUCCCGGCCGGGUACAAAAGGCAAAAACGGCUGCAAAUGAGCAGGCAGACUUUUGCCUAGCCGAGCAAGCAAAUCUCUUCCACAACCGGUAGCCUAGCUACUCGGCAACAACAGAUCCAUGUUCAACACAAGGAAUCUAAGAAUGAACACCAGCAUUCUUAUUUGCAUCGGAAUCGGAACUAUAUAUAUAUACUAUACUAACACGCUGGACCUAUGAAAUACAUGUAAAAUAUUCGUGCCUGGUGGCAGGUUUAGUUGUCCUAGCAGAGAUUAACUUUAGAGUAAAAUACACUGGUGGUCCAUUAACUUGUCAGCCUGUGCCAUUUUGGUCCAUGAAUUUGCAAACCCAAAAAAGUGAUCCCUGAACUUGUCCGUCUGUGCCACUUUAGUCCAUGAACUUGCAAACGCGAAAAAAUACCCCCUAAACUUGUCGACUUAUGCCACCUUGGUCCAUGAACAUGCAAAUACGAAAAUAACACCAGCUGUAUGGCACUGUUCUGCCACGUGGCCGCCUCUGGUAGGCCAUGCAUGGCACCCAGCUGAUGUCAACACCAUAAACAGUGCCAUGCAUGGCCUACCAGAGGCGGCCACGUGGCAGAACAGUGCCAUGCAGCUUGUGUUUUUUUCGUAUUUGCAUGUUCAUAGACCAAGGUGGCACAGGUCGACAAGUUUAGGGGGCACUUUUUCGCGUUUGCAAGUUCAUGGACCAAAGUGGCACAGACGGACAAGUUCAGGGGUCACUUUUUCGGGUUUGCAAGUUCAUGGACCAAAGUGGCACAGGCUGACAAGUUAAAGGGCCGCCAGUGUAUUUUACUCUUAACUUUAACAGAUCCUUCCAGAGAGUGUAUUGUUUGCCAGAUUCAGUCUCUGCAGCAGUGGCGUGCCAUAGAUCAAAUUUGAUGGUAUCUCACCUGAGAGUCGGUUACUGCCUAGGUCUAGAACUUGCAGCUGUGGCGUACCGCAGCCAAGAUUCGCUGGUAUCUCGCCGGAGACUUGGUUACUAUUCAGGUCCAGAAUCUUGAGCGUGGCACAUCGUGCGAGACCUUGUGAGAUGGAGCCGUUCAAUUGAUUGUUUGAGUUGAGGCAGUGAAAUACUCAAGCAUGCCAUGAGCACACAGCCACUCUGGGACGUCACCAACCCAAACCUCAAAUAAAGCCUGCUGGUGAGUGCUUCCCUAGCUCUAGCGGGAGUGUCCCAGUAAGCCUGUUGCUGUCCAAGUACAAUGAUUUCAGCGAUGGCAACCGGCUGAUACUUUCAGGUAUUUCACCAAAGAAACUGUUGUAAUUAAUCGAGCAAUAAUUCUGUGAGGUUCUCCAAGCGUCCAAAGACUUGAGGGAUGGCUCCAGCAAACUUGUUGUCCGAUCGAUAAAAUGAUUUUGGUUAAGCCCCUCGCGGUAAAACAAUCAUCCGAUUCCACUAGGUGUCCGGUAAGGUUGCAACAAUUAAGAACUGAAGCUUGUUGAGGCUCCAAACCUCAGGAGGUAAGCUUCCUGUCAACGAGUUGUCUGCAAGGUUCAGAAGCUCCAACUCUGUCUUCAUAAUCACCACGUAGCUCGGGAAGUUGCCGACGAGGCCACAUCCUCCAGCCCAUAGCCUGACAAGCUUGGUCAUAUUCCUGAACGAUGUUGGUAGCUUUCCUGGGUCGAACGAGUUGUACGCCAACGACAAUGUCUCGAGGAGACUCAGCUCGCCAAGCUCUGUCGGAAUAGUGCCUGUGAGGCCGUUGUACUCCAGCUCGAGAAACCGGAGGUUUCAGAGCUUGGACAGAGAUGUCGGGAUGCUGCCAUUGAACUGGUUAUAACUGAGGACCAGCAUGCUCAAGUUCGCCGAGAGGCCAUAUGGCCAAUGUCAAGGGGGAGCUCUCCAGCGAUGUUGUUCAGGAAAAGGACAGGUGGAGGUACUGGAGUGAGCCACAGCGGUAGAGCACCGUUGGGAACAUGCCGGCCGGCGAUCGAUGCUGUUGUUGGAGAGGUCGAGCUUUGCAAGGUUGGAGAAGACUCCAAUGGCGUCCGAGAUGGGGCCCGUGAUGUUGACGCUAACGAGCUUGAGGGUCGUGACUCGGCUGGACGAGUCGCAUUGCACGUAUGGCCAACGACAAUGCGCCCCCGCGGCCGAGGUGGCGGCGGUCCAUGUCCAUGCCGCGAGCGCCGGCGGAUCACCCCACGCGUGCUUCAUCUGGAGGAGCAGCGCCGUCUCAUCGACGUGUCGCGACUCGCGACUGCGCGGCGGCCACGCAAUGGUGCAGGAGGCAUGCUACUAGUACUAGCACGGGCAGCAUGAGGCAGCAACAAGAACAAGCACGGGCGUGGCGAGGUGUUGCCAUGCCUUUGCCUGCUGUGGUGGAGACGGCGUGUGUUCUGGUUUUCUACUUGAAUGGGCGAGCAGAGCACUGGAAAUUUUGGGCUUUGGAGACUCCUCCGAUCCGUGAUAAUGAUAUGAGUCUCUAUUGCUGUCACCGGAGACUAAAACACAGUAAUUAGCCCGGUCAAAACACGGCAAUUUGAAACACUGUUCCUGGCCUGGACAGGACGAUAGGCGAUGGAGAUGGAACCAGCGGAAGCACGCGGCUGUCCCUUGACUAACUUAGUGAGAGGACAGCAACACUGUUGCUCUUGUUUAACAGAGAUCAAACUAGCAACCAUCACUACCCGAGACGCCCGCCUAUGCCGAGUGCCGCAAGCUUUGCCGAAAGCUAACUUUUAGAUACUCAGCAAAGGGGCCGUUUGCCAAAUAUCUCCAUCAACAAAGAGCAACACUUGGCAAAGAUGAGCUUUACUGAGUGUCUGACCCUUGCUAAACAGCAGCACUCGGUAAAACUCAUCUUUGCCGAGUAUCAGACACUCGGCAAAUAACUUUUUUCUCAAGUGUCAUAUACUCGGUAAAACAUAACACUUGGCAAAGAGAUGAUGACAGCUAAAUGCCGUCACCUGUUGUUAAUCUUUGCCAAGUGUCAACAAAUAACACUUGGCAAAGCUUUUUUUUUUUUUUUUGCUCCCAAACUUUUUCAACUGUCCUUACACAAUACUUGAAGUGCAUGUUCAAAUUUGGCUCAUUUCUCGAUAUGUUAGCUAUAUUUCUUUCAUUUUUUUCAUUAAAUUAUUUUUUAGAAAAUGCAAGUUUGAACUAUAGGUGUAUCGAAUAAUAGAAUUUAAUAAAUAGAAAAAAUGAUAUUCAUGUUUUAUCCGCAUGAUAUCACAAGUGCUGCCAAACAUAUUGGUAUUAAGUAUUUUGUUGUGAAAAAUAGAAUACAAGAUCAAACUGUUGAUAUAGUGCACAUUAAUACGACAAUGAUGUUAGCGGAUCCUCUAACAAAAGGCUUACAAUCCAAAAUUUUUAAUGAACAUGUUGCCGGCAUGGGUUUAAUGGAAACUCUCUAAUGAUUGUGGAUAAGGGCCAUAACACAACCAACUCCCAUUAUGUUUAAGUUUUAUCCUAUCGAAGUGGUUUGGUGUAUUGUUGAUGCUUGUGUUGUAGUGGCAAUUUUCCUGACUUCUGUAUCACAUCGUACAUUAUCCUGUCGAGUGUGGACUUAUGAUGAUGUCUGGACUUAUGAUGAUGUCAUUCGAUUAAAGUGGGAGAAUGUUGGAAACUAACGGAUAAGUGAUCUCUGGCUUGAGCUGUUAUGAAGGGGUAUGGGGUCAAAGACAUCCCUGUCUGAAUUAGUCGGAGGCUCAUGGGGGAAUUCCACGUACACACGAUGAUCGGUAGUGCCCAAACCAACCAAUGGUUGCGGCCCCGAGUCGACCAACGCCAUAUUAAAAGGGGUCCCAGCUUCUCUUUGAGUAACUGCACAACAGAGAAACAGUUUCCCCCAACACUUUCUCAUCCCGAUUUUGCGCUGGAUCGACCCAAAGACUGCUACCUUCUUCCCCAACUCCGGUACCGGCCAAGGUGAUUGGCCUGUGACGUUGGCGUCCUAAAGGCCGACGCUACCCCAACUCCAAACAACCACAUCGACCUCGUUUACGCGUCCCUACUCCACCAUCGAUGGUGGAACAUCAAGGUCAUUGACUAGGCUAGAUCAUCUAAUUGUAUUGAUCUUUGAUCUAAUAGUGUAGUAUUUUGUUUGUAUUUGACAAAUAUUGUCUAAUCAUGGACUAACUAGGCUCAAAAGAUUAAUCUCGCAAAUUAUAGACAAACUAUAUAAUUAGUUAUUUUGUUAUCUAUAUUUAAUGCUUCAUGCAUGUACUAUAAGAUUUGAUAUGACGGGGAAUCUUCAUCAUUUUGCAAAAUAGUCGAGGAACUAGGCCUUGUUUAGUUGGUUGGAGAAAAAAAUUUAUGUACUGUAGCAUUUUCGUUUUUAUUUAUAAAUUAUUGUCUAAUUAUAGAUUAACUAGGCUUAAAAGAUUCGUCUCACAAAUUACAGUCAAACUGCACACUUAGUUAUUAUUUUUUAUUGGAAUCUUAAUUUUUUUAAGUUUUUGGAUGAAACUAAACAAGGCAAGGCCUCAACUUGUUGAGGCCAAAAUCCAGGGUACUCAGGUUUGUCCCCAGGCCAUAGCCGAUGUCAUCAGACAUCAGGGAGCUCCCCUUGGAGGUAGUUGUAGGACAGGUCGAGGUACUGGAGCCAUCUGCAGCGGUAGACCGAGCGCCGGCGUGGGAGGCCACCAACGGCGUCCAGGAUGUGUGUCGUGAUGUCAGUCGAUGCCGGUGAGGGCGAGCCUCUUGACGCAUUGCCUACCCACAUCGAUGUUCGUCUCCGUCUCGCGAAGGCAAAGGGCGCAACGCUCCUCCAUAGGCACCGGGGGCGUCGUCGAGGGCACGAGCGUGGGGCGGCGCGGCUUCCUCUGUUAGGGACCGCUGUCGAGGAGCGCAGGGCCGCCAUUUGGGAGUGCAAGGUGGCACGACUUCUUAUGUCGGACGUGACCAGGAGCAACGGGGGUAGAAGAACAUGAGCUCGGUGUCUAACAAUUCAGUCCCAUUGCCAGCAGCAACUAACGGGGGCAAAUUACCAUUCAUCCAUAGGCGGACCCAGGGCCCGGCGACCCUGGGCCCAUGCCCAGGCUCCUGUCUUAGCAAUCCUUUGGAGCCCAGCAGAUGGCCCAUUAGCUAAGCAUGGAUUGACUAGGCUGGAAGCAGUAUACUAGGAGAUCACAGUGAUCACAGUUUGUUUGCCCGAGCUGCUCCAUCUAUCUAGGUCCGCCUAUGCAUUCAUCCCAACCCGCUAAAUCCCCCGUACCAAACAAAAAACUAUAAUGGCUCCACCCCUCGAAUCAAACAUGAGAUCGGUCCAACCCAACCCAGAAAACUAGGUCAGGUUCAACUCAUCCCACAUGGUUCUUAAACCAAACACAAGUAAGCCCUUUCCCCUUUCCAUGAAAUUCCUAGAAAUAUACUAGAAAUAUUAGAGCCACUCCAAAGCCUAUCCAGACCUUUCCCACACAUUCUCCACCAUCUGAAAUUCCAAAAGUAAUAUUCAAUAUCCUUUCCCCCAAACCAAACACUUCUAACAGUUAAAGUCAUAGAUAUGUCGGUUGACACUUCUUAACGCAAUUACUAAAAAUAGACUCUUAAACCUAUCCAUAGCAACGGCGUCAAAAUUACUUAACAUCACUUAAGUUAGGUUGUCAUCCCCAACAUAAUGUAGAAAUGCUGGUACUAAAUCUAUAUGCAUUUCUAAGGAUAAAUAAAUAAAUAAAUAAAGGAUUCGCAAACUCACAGAUAAUACCGAAGUAGCAUUUUAACCAGAAGUAUUCUAGGAAAUGAAAGAGGUGAGGUGGGUUGGGGGCAGCCAUCUCUUAUUUAUACUCUUAUUUAUAGGCCUAUUACACAUUCCUCAAAUGACCCUAAAUAUUUUUGAGCAAACUAGAUAGCCUCAGAGGCAUUCUAGUCUAACUCGACAUGACCUACAUCCGACGGCCACCGCGCCCUUCAUGAGGUAGCUUAGCCUGGACGCUAACUCCUCAAUGCCGCCACGUGUCGUCCAUUCCUCGAAACCUCCGCCCGGGUUUUGAGGCCUAAACCGCGAAACCCACCGCGAGUAGCGUACUCCAUACGCAUCUCCGCCUCUCAACACGUGUCACCUCCGUCCUCGAUCGGCCGGACCGCCAAGUCCUCCUGAGCCUCGUUCGACUCACACGUCCGCCAUCUUGACUUGGUCAACACGGUCACUCUCAUGUACACUCGCACUUGUCGAUGUCCCAGAUGUCAGCCACUUUAGUUGGUCAGCCGGCCUCCUGGUCCGCCAGUCCAAACCUCACGUCUGCCCUUCAUCGCUUCAAGUUGAUCGGUACGGCACGUCUCUACUUGACCUUCUCCUCGCCGUCGAUCACCACCUCCGAGCUCCACACCUACACACCAUAAACCAAGAGAUAUGUUGCACACUUAACUUUUGCCAUGAUAAUAUUAGUCAUCAACUCAAUCUAUUCAUAGAUCAUGUUGAUAAUUCUCAUCAUAAAAUAAACCACAAGAAUAUUUGUCGAUCUUGUGUUCGCACCACACCGCAUUCAGGACGGAACCGCGAGUCAGUCAUGAAGAGUUUUGUGUGUUUGCGACCACGGCCUUGUUUAGUUCCUUGGAGAAAUUUUUUCGCGACACUGUAGUACUUUCGUUUGUUUGUGAUAAUUAUUAUCUAAUUAUGGACUAAUUAGGCUCAAAAGAUUCGUCUCGUAAAUUUUGACCAAACUGUGCAAUUAGUUUUUAUUUUUAUUUAUAUUUAAUACUCCAUGCAUUUGUCUAAAGAUUCGAUGUGACGGGGAAUCUUGAAAAGUUUUUGGAUGUUGGGCGGAAGUAAAAGAUGCGAAUUGCCGUGUUUUGGGCUUUUGGCCGGAAUUAUUGUGUUUCAGUCUUCCCUGACAACGGCAGAAUUUAUCACGGCUCGGGAAAAAAAAAAAAAAAGACCCCAAGCACAAAUUUCUACGAACCCGUUCGAGCCAGGGGAGCUGCCAGCAUCAUUCAAGAACUUGACCCACCUAGCCAUACUUAACGCAUGUUGCUGCAACCUCGUAGGUGCCUUCCCGAGUUACCUGACAAAGAUGCAGCAGUUGGAGGAACUGUACCUCAGGGACAACUCGUUGACAGGAGCCAUACCUCCGGGGAUCUGGGACCUCAAGAACCUGCAGAUCUUGCAAGUGCAGAGAAACAACCUCACUGGCAACGUGGUGAUUGAUGGCUUUGCUGCUCUCAGGUUGACGGUUAUCGACUUGGCGCAUAACAAACUUACUGGAACUAUCCCAGAAGUCUUUGGACGCUUAAAGAACCUCACGUAUUUGGUACUCUACAGAAACAACUUCUCCGGCGAGAUACCCAUGAGCAUCACCAAUUGUGCUGUCCUAGAGGUUUUAUACCUCGGUGAUAACAAGCUUUCUGGAGAGAUCCCAAAGGGGUUAUGCGUUGGAAACAAACUCUAGUAUCUCAACGUCUCGCACAAUAGGUUGAACGGCUCCAUCCCAAUUGACCUCGCCGGCUGUGCCACUCUGGAAGUACUUGAGCUAAACAAUAACCAGCUCUCCGGUCAGAUACCAGCAAAUUUUGGCUAUGGCACGCCACAGCUGCAGAGACUAAACCUGGCGAAUAACCAACUCUCUGGACGGAUCAGUUAAGUGAAUCUGCAGGGCUAGUCUCUGGAUAACUCAUUGGAACAGUCAACGAAAUAUAGUCGGUAGUUUACCUAGGGGUAUACCCAAGGUAGUAGACUGUCGGCUGAUAGGUGCGCAAGCUAUGAAUUAAUGGUGACGCAAGACACAGACAAGAAUUUUAUCUAGGUUCGGCCACCAUGAGGGCGUAAUACCGAUGUUCUGUAUGAUCUAAGUUGUCCUCUACGGGACCCCAGCCCCUCCUUAUAUACUGUGAAGGGACAUAAUUACAAAUUUGGUAUAAUAUUUUAUUGUAGCUAGCCUUGCGGUGCACAUCGACCAGCAUUGCACGUCGCAUGUCUUCAUCUUGUGGGUCGGACCACCUUCGAUGGUGCGGCCGAUAUCAAACCAUAAGGGUAUAGGGAUUUAUACCCACAGGAACCAUACCUCUAGGGAUCUGGGCCCCAAGAACCUGUGAAUCUUGUCUGCGAUGAGCGACAACCUUAGAGGUAACAUAGGCUUAAUAUGUUCGUUUGUGUGAAAAGCUAUAACUUACAGCACCGUUUUCUGAUUUGUUGUGAGAAAAAAACACUGCUAAAUGGCUGACAGGCUACCAUCAGCUUUAUCGACUUGUCAGACAACAAGCUCCUGGAAUCAUUCCAAAAGUCUUGGGAGGCUUGAAGAACCUUACAAUUUUGUUGCUCUACAAAGACAACUAUGGUGAGAUACCUGUGAGCAUCUGCCGAUUGCCUUCAUUGACAGACUUGAUGCUGUCUAGUAACAUGCUUACCGGCACACUGCCACUGCAGCUCGGUAAGCAUGCACUCGCCUGCCCUAUCUUAUGUUUCAGUUAAUAACAACAAGCUCACCGGUGAGAUACCAAAAUGGCUAUGCGCCGGAGGCCAGCUCCAACAUUUUAGCGCUAGCAGCAGCCAGCUCUCCGGCGAAGGUGCCAACAUUUUAGGCUAGCAGCAGCAGCCAACAUUUUAGGCCUCGCUUAUUAUGCCACGCUGAAGCAGCAGCCAGCUCUCCGGCGAGGUGCCAGAGGCUCUGCGGAGAGUGACGCAGGCUGAUAACGUGAUUUUACGGAAUAAUCGACUCACUGGGAGUCUCUGCCUAACAUGAUUUCCAGCAACUUUGCGUGGCUAGACAUAGGAAACAACCAGUUUGUUGGUAGGAUCUUAUCAACAGCUUGCAAAAUGUGAAUAGUAUCAAUUUCGUUUGUAUUUGACAAAUAUUGUCUAAUCAUAGACUAACUAGGCUCAAAAGAUUCGUUUCGUCAAUUCCGACCAAACUGUGUAAUUAGUUUUUAUUUUUGUCUAUAUUUAAUACUUCAUGCAUACGUCUAAAGAUUCGAUGCGACGAGGAAUGUGAAAGAUUUUGUAAAAUUUUUUGGGAACUAAACAAGGCCUUGGGCUUGAAUAUUUCAUUGCUGACAAUAACCAAUUUUCUGGCCAUAUACUCCCAGCGAAUCUGAGCUAUGGCAUGCCAAUGCUGAAGAAGCUGAACCUGAGCAAUAACAAACUCUCCGGCAGGAUCAGCUAAGCUACUGUAUAGGGACUGAACCUGACCGAUGACCAAACUCUCCGAGCUGAAUAUGUAAAACUAUAUAAAUAGCAUGAGCAUGUGUGAAUAUACAUGGAUAAGUUAUAGUUUUCUUGAAGCUUUGUGAUAGCUUAGAGCAACCGGGUCGCCUGUGAUUGAUGCUUCAAGGUAGUGUGUGGUAGUAAAAAAAAAAAGGGGGAAAAACAUUUGAUGAAAUAAUCAGCAUAUUAUCGACUCUAUAAACAAUACGCCCCUAUAUUAUGAAAGGACGGAUGAUGGAAACAUAUUACUGUUGUUGAAGUCCAAGAGCUUUGACAGGAUGUUAGUUUCAGGCUUUCGGCCUCAGGUUUUUCGGCUUCGGCCACUGGUGGUGUACACUAGCUAGCUUGAGAUGUGAAAAAAAGGAGGACCAAAUUAAAGCUGUCAUUCGUAGUUGCUCUUGUCAAUAAAGUACGUUUGUAUGUUACUAUAGCUGCAUUGGCUCACCUUAUAUUAAAAGAAGAGGUAAAAACACACCCUUUGUUUGCCGGUGGACCAAAAUGAUAGGACUGUAGAUACAUACCUACAGUACUAAGUAGCAUAUCAUCUUCAAUUUAACUAUUUUAUUAAAAACAACUAAAAAUAUUUACAGUAUCAAAUACUCCAUAUGUCCCUGAAUAAGUCAAUUAUUAUUCCUGUAAUUCGUGUCAAUCAGACUUUUUAAAAUUUAACUAACUUUAUAGAAAAAAUAACAACAUUUAUCACAUAACAUGAGUACCUUAUAAAAAUAUAUAUUCUAUGAUAAACCUAAUAUACUAAUUCGAUAUCAUAAAUCUUAACUUUUUUUAGAAAUUCGGUUAAAGUUUAAAAAGAUUAACUUAAGACAACUCUAGAAAUCUGUUUAUUUAGAAACAGAGGGAAGAAGUACAUUGGAAUAUAUUUUUAUAAUAUAUCUAUUUUAAAUCAUAACUGUACAUAUCAUUUCUAUAAACUUAGGAUUAAUAUAGAAUUAAUUACUUAAAGAUCAAAGAGCUAUAUAACAAAUAUUGAUAAGCCAUUUUUUAUUUCGUAUAGAUAGUCAGUUUUUAUCUAGCGUGGAUCCAAAGAUGGUGGCCCCUGAAUGCAAAGCUUUUUAUAUAUAGACGUUGCAAUGUACUCCGUACUCCGGUAGUAAUUACCGGUCAAUUAGCUCAUCUACGAACAAUGCGUAGAUCUAUAUAUACUUUUAUUUAUUGACAAUAAUGUGCAGUCCAUAUGUAUACUAUUAAAAAAAUAAAAUUACUCGGCCUGGCCCAUGGGAGCAAACAUGAUGAUUAUACCGAAAUCAAAGUGUGUCUGGUCCAUAACGAAAAGUCAAGCGGGUAGCGUCUCAGUUGCUUUAUCUCUGCUUUGGUGCUGAAGAAGCAACAUAAUGACAAUUAAUGCUUGUAUUCCAUUCCCAAAAGGUUAACAAUAUAUUUUCAUGUUAUAUCUAUAUGAAAUCAUAAAUGUUCGUGUUAUUUCUGUAUAACUUUAAUUUAAACUUAGACUAGAUUUGGUAUUAAAGUUCUUACUGAGAAGAAGGAAGUAAUAUAUAGAACAAGUAAUAGUAAUAAGUCAAUUUUUAUCUAGCGUCCUCUGUUUUUUUAUCAUUUAAACGGUCAGGCAUUUAAUUUCCGUUUACCCUUAAGCAUUUAAUUUCACAGUUUCAAAUUGCACAAACAAUCUCAGAUAGAAAAAUGACCAGAAGUAAAGUUGUAGAUCUCGACUUUGUAGUUAACAACCCUUUUAUUAAAAAUUAUUUAUGGUCUAGAAUUUGUAUUUGAAGUCCUAAUAUUUUGAAAUUCAAAAUUUUCAAAAAAAUUUGGAUGGAAAAUCUAUCAUAACCAAAGUUUAAGAUUUCGAUGAGAACUACAACUUUGUAGUUGAUGACUUCUCAUUUAAAAUUAUUUGUGGUCCUAGUAUGGCUCAAAUUCUCACAAUUUGAAUUCAAAUUUAUCAAAUGACCUUGGACGGUGAAACAACCAAAACCAAAGAUGUAGAUCCCGAUGAGAACUACAACUUUGUAGUUGAUGACCUUUUCAUUUAAACUUGUUUAGGGUCCCACAUAUUCAUUUUAAAAUCAUGAAAAGGAAUAUAAUACUAGAGGAAUGAAUAUGCCAUAUAGAAACAAGUGAUUUUGGAGUGGAGUGGUUAUAGGAGCUAUCCCACCACCACAAAGUGCGUGAAAAAUUGCGUGGCUACUGGGGGUGAAAGGACCUAGGAUGCUGCCUAGACGGGUGUGAAUAGGCAUUUUUGAAAAAUAACACCUUUAAAUAUGGAAACGAUUAGAGUGAGAGCUCUACAACAGAGUAAAUAAACCCCUCACAAGUUAACCAUAGAGUAUAUAACAAGUACUAAGUGAAUCUAGGAGCCUCAACCCUGCAACACCAAAGAUUAUAGUGAAGAACAAGAAAAAUCAGCUCAGCCCCUAAUACCGAGCUCCAAGCUUGCAGUUUUUUUAUUGCAAUCUUUUACUCCAAGUUGCAGGAACAUACUAAGAGUUCUAUCUCACAAAAUACACCUGCACACUAGCACAACACAAGAGGAUCACAAAUAUCAAACGAGAGAGAAUUGAGACAUGAUAUUGUUUUACUGAAGUUCGAACUCCGCCGAGUCCUACUCUCCGUUGAGGGGACUGCGAGCGACCCAACAAAGAUCAGCUCCAAAGGACCCACAAAAGUCAACUCUAGUCGAAGUCUUUUCUGACUCCUUUUAUUUUCCUUCUUCCACUAGUUGAUCCUUUCCCUUGCGGCAGUGGAAUCGACCCUUACAAACUUUUUGAGGCAUACCACAAGGAUUGAAGAGUCCAAGAGUAACAAAUGCAAAUCACGAGAUCAACAAUAUGCACAAGUGCUCAAGGGUGGCUUGCUCUCAAUUUUUUAAUUUCUCUCAGCCCACAAUUUGGAUUUUGCAAAUUGGAUCAAACACUCACUAAGAGAGGUUUGGAGAUUAUUCUCAUGGCCCAAAAACGUGUAUGAGAACCAGCGCAAUGCCAAGGGUUAGUUAGUUAGUAACCCCUUGAAAAACUAGCCAUUUUCUAGACGUUGGUCUGGUAUGAAUACCAGACAUGUUCGGUAUGACCAGCACAAUGCCAAGGGUUAGUUAGUUAGUUAGUUAGUUAGUUAGUUAGUUAGUUAGUUAGUUAGUUAGUUAGUUAGUUAGUUAGUUAAGAGCGCACGUGAGGCGUCAAAACUUCCAAUUCUCACCGUGACUUCCGACAACUAGAACUCCUGAGCCAUGUUGGAACUUCCAACUAACCAAACUUGAGAGCAUAGAAGGGUUGAUGUGACCAACCCCAUACCUGAUGCAUACCUGACAUGUCCAGUAUGCUCAGCCAUAGCAGGGAGUGUUAGCUCUUGACUCUCUCUCACUAAAACCUCACAAGGUUGCCUUGAGCACUUAUGAAUAAUCAUCUAUCAAUAUAAUGCAUCCCUCUUAAUAGUACAACAAACCUAUUAAUUAACUCAAGAUCAAAUGAAAAACAAGUUUGAACUGCUUGUGUUAAUUUCCUUCAAAUCCAAAUGUUGUAGCUCUCAAUCUUCAUCAAGUGAGGAUACCAACAUGUCAACUUUGAUUCUCUCCUUGAGCAUAGCCAUCCUAAGUAUGUGACUUGAUUCCAUUCAAAAUAUGCGAAUUAACUUCAAAUGCAUUAAGUCACUUCUAACAAUUUAUCCAAUAAAUAUUUGAUCCUUCACUUCAAUGAGAUCAUCAUAGCAUGAUUGAUACCUCAACUAAAUGUAAGUACUUUCUUCUUCACCCUAGCUAAGUUCCUCAGCCGCUAAGCCAUCGCUUGCCCUUCAUACUUGCCUAGUACCUCGAAGUCGUUCCUUGCUAUCUUCACCAUCUCAAGCCAUCAAGUCACACCUUGUAUCGGAUCAUUCAUCAAGCUUAUUUGUACAAUUGCCUUUUCAUUUCAAUGUAGCAAGCUUCAACUACAAAGAUCACUCCAUAUGAAUCCUUCAUGUCUCAUUAAUCAAUUCUUCAACAUACUUUAUUUUUCACAAAUAAUAGAAAUCCCACAAUGAAUAAGCCUUGCAUGAAUUAGAUUUGCAUUGUUGUCUAGUGUUUGAGUUCUUAUACAACAACGCAUCAUUUUGGCUUUAUGCAAUCUAUUCAAGUAUCUGUGAGAUAAUCAAUUUCCUGUGCAACACUUUGCAAAUAGGUUAGACCUUUAAUCACAUUGUCAUUCAAUCAUUCAAAACCCACUAUAGGGCUAGAUGCACUUCCAGGAGGCUUCUCAGAAUUAAAACCAUUUUUUGCUAUUUUUGGCCAACUUUUUGGAUUUAUGGAAAUCGUCAUCACCACUGGGUCAUGUUACCAACCGACAUUAAUAACCUACUGUUAGUGAUGACCAUGUCAUCAUCAAAUUCAAUGUCGGUUGCCAAAACCAGAGUGAUAGAGGGUUUAGAAUUAACAGUGAUAGAGGGUUUAGAACUAACACUGAAUAAGCUUAGGACUAAUGGUACUUUUGAAAAGUACAAGGGAAAGCUUGUGGCCAAGAAUUAUACCUAGAAAGGAUGCAAAUACUUCUUGAUACUAUUUCACCUAUUAGCUAUUGCUUGAUUGACCAUAAUUUGAGUGUUACUUUUCCUGACAACCUCACAUGGUAUUCUCAUUCAUCAGAUGGAUGUUAAGAUAGCCUUCCUAAAUUGGGAGCUAGAGGAGGAAGUCGAUAUGGAUAAGCCAGAUGAGUUUGUAGCAAAGGAUCAAGAAGGAAUGGUGUAUAAUUGGAAUCAUAACUCACGUGAUUAGAUACCAUCUAUAUUGAGGCUUAAUGGCUUUGUGAACUCUUAUGAAUUUAUCAGUGAUUGAAAAACCUAUACCGUCUAUUUUUGUGAACUGUGAUAAUCAAACAGUGAUAGUCAAAUAAAAUAGUUCAAAGGAUAACAUGGAGUCAACUAAACAUGUAAAGAGACGGUUGAAUUAUGUCAACAAAUUGAGGAACUCUUGAGUGAUAGAGUUAGACUAUGUCCAUACGUCUAAAUAUCUUGUAAACCAAUUCACAAAGGGGCUGUCAUGUAAUGUCAUAGAUGGUGCAUCAAGUGAGAUGGGCUUGAGACGAAUUCUACCAUAGGGGCAACCUGUCCUAGUGAUCGAAGAUCCCGUAAAGUAGGAUGGUGAAACAAGCUAGUCGUUGACCCAGGAGGAAAAACCCUUGACAAGGUCCAUGUCAUCUAAGAUCAUUUCAUUCCUAUUUCGUAUGGCAGAUUGGUUUAUACCUUUAUGUGAUCUGAAUAUCUUAUUAAAGUAGAGAUGUUAUCCUACAGAACAUCUUAUGGGAAACACACCUAUAUAAGUUCGACUGCUAGUCACAAUCUAUGAAAUUUGCCCAUGAAAGACUCUAGGGUUUGACUUAUAUGCUCCGAUCCUAUAAGAAUGAUUGCUUUUGACAGCCUACUAACAUUAAAGGACUUCGGUAAACUUAUUAUUCAUACAAAAAAUUAUCAAGUCAAGAUAUAGUCCAUUGUUCUGUUUUUAAUUCAAUUAAAUUAAAUAAACUCUAAAACCCAAUGGGCUAGUGUGUGCACAUGGAUCUUGCGCAACCACUCGCUUCUGUUCCACGAAAUCUGAACUGCACCUACUCCAUCUUCCCAACGACACACAAGCGAACAAUUAAUGUGUCUACUUCUUGCUGAAUGUUUAUAGGACACCACUACAAACAUCUUUCUACUUCACAUGUGGUCUACUGCUGUAAGCAACUCCCUAUGCCGACUCAGGGCACUCCCAAUGCAAGACUCUAUCACAGAGUCCAAGACAAUUAAUUACAUAUUAUUUAUGGUAUUUUGCUGAUGUGGCAGCAUAUUAAUUGAAGAAAAAGGUAGAAAAAAUAAGACUCCAAGUCUUAUUUAGACUCCAAGUCCACAUUGUUCGAGGUAAUAAAUAACUUUAGACUCCAUGUUAGAGUCUGCAUUGUGAGUGCCCUCAUAGCGAGCAAGGCACCGCUAGUACCCCAGGCGUAGGUCCUGCCCCAGGGUUAUUAUGAUAUCACCACCGGAAAACCAACCUUUGCCGAGAGCCACUGAGUUUGCCGAGAGCGAAAACACGGGAGCUCGGCAACCAAGACGUUUGCCGAGAGCAACGCUCGGCAAAGGAUGGCUCACGGCAAAGGAACAACUUGCCGUGAGCCAGAAUCUCGGCAAACAAAAACGCUCGGCGAACAGAGUCAUUUCGGCGAGAGGGCCUCUCGGCAAAGAAAGGCUCACGGCAAACUGGGUCUUUGCCGUGAGCUGAGCUCUCGGCAAAAGGCAUUUAUCGGUAAAGAGCUGCUGUCGUUACCCAGUUUCACGACGUGAGAUCUUUGCCGAGAGCCCCGCCGUUAAGGCUCUCGGCAAAACUCUUUGCCGAGCGCCCCUCUCGGCAAAGAGGCUAUCCAUAUUUCAUGUUUCUCUUUUCCCUAAUUACUCUCUCCAAUUAAAUUUAUUUAUUUUUUCUUUCAUUUGCUCCAAAGUUUUUUCUCUCUACACAUACUACGUGUUGUUCAAUAUUAAUUUUUUGUUUAUUUUUGUAAUUAUUUGCUAUAUAAUUAAUUAGUUGCAAAUUUGAACAGUGGGUGUUGUAUAGUAUAUACUCUCUCCAAUUAAAAAUAUUGUAAUUAUCUUUUUCUCUCUCCAAUGCUACGGGUCCACGACUGCACUCGUCUUUGGCUCCGGUCUCCUCCCCUCCUCGCCUCCUUUUUAUAUAUCUCUUGGAUGAACUCUUGGAUGAAUAGUGAGACAAAAAGCUUCAUCCAAGUCCGACACCAAUUGCAGCACCCCUACCCACUCUGGGAACCUUUGCCUUGCGGUGCUCUAUAAAGCCGGUCGGCCGACCGUACACCACACUAUAGCGAACGUGGCUGUGCUUCGCCUCGUCCAACUCUGACCGAGUGCGCCCCUUCCAUCCUUGUAGCCCUCGCCUUCAUCGGUCCUUGGCACCCGCGCAAGCUGCGAUGGCCGUCCCGAGCAGCGUGAGGCGCCUCUAUCUUCCCUGUACAUAAAAUAUAGUCUGAACUGAAAAUGAGAUAACCCACAUCGUGUCCCUUUUUCUUUUCUUCUUUUGGCACAUACAAGAAUAGAGAUUUCAGUUCUCUUAAUUCUAGCAAAGAGGUAGAAGAGGACAUAGAAUUUCUAAGAGCUAGUGAGUAUCCAUUACAAAUUACAAACACUGUUACAUACUAAUUAGUUUUGGAGUUCCAAACUUUUUCUAUAAUCAUUAGAGAGCAUAAACUCUAACAGGGUAAAAUUUUGUAUUUUUUGACACCGUUUGCUAUUUAUAAAUUAUUUUUCAGUAUAUUCUUUGCCGAGUGCUUCUUGAAAGCUCUCGGCAAAGACUUUUUUACCGAGAGCUAUUCGGUCAGCUCUCGGCGCAGAUUUCUUUUUUUUUUCAGGAAUACCCUUUGCCGAGAGCCUCCUGAACAAGCUCUCGGCAAAGAGUGUAUUUUAUUUUUUAUCUCAGUUAGAUAAACAAUAGGAAAUUAAUAUUUUUUAAAACAUCGUGCUUUGCCGAGAGUGGCUCUCGGCAAAGACUUUUUAUAAAUUACUUUGUAGUGUAGUUUUUCAAACAAAGCAAAAUUUAAAAAAAAUAAUAUUUGGAGAAGUGGUCAACAGGCAAACUUUGCCGAGAGCCCUAUCCAAGUGGCUCUCGGCAAAAAGGUCGUUUGCCGAGCACUGCGCUCGGCAAAGGCUGUUGGCUCUCGGCAAAUAGAUCAGGAUACUUAGGCACUCAGCCCAGCCUGACUCCCUGCACGCGCCCGGCUUCAUUCUUCACCGCCACCGCAGCCUGCUCGCCGCCCAGCUUGUUCUAACCGCCACCGCCGCCCGCUCGCCGCCGGCGCGCCGCUCGCUGCCGGUGCGCCCCUGCCCCCGCUCGCUGCCGGUGCGCCCCCGCCCCCGCGAGCUCGCACCCCUACCCCUACCCCCGCGCACGCGCGCCGCCUUGCGCUCGGCCUCGCUUGCGCCGCCGCGCGCGCCGCCGUUGCCCACGCGCUGCUCGCCGUCGUGCGCUGCUCCCUCUCGAUCUCCUCGCGCCCCUACCCCCGGGCGUGGUUCCUGCCGACACCGCCCGCGGACGUCCUUCUUCUCGCGGCCCGGCUCGGCUCUGCCUCCACUGGGGCUUUGGAUCUCGGCCACCGCUCCUCGUGAGUCCCUUCUCUGGGGGUCAUUGUAUUUUUUCUCGGCAUAGCUGAAUUAUGCUUAGUUGUAGUAGUAUUUUUUCUCUGUUCUUUCUGAGGGUCAUUGUUAGUUUAACAUUAGAUCCGAAUACUAUGUUUUACUGUUACUUAAAUGUGCUCAUGUUUAAAACAGUUCAGCUAUGAUGUGCUCAUGUUUAAAUCGCUUGUGAGGUAAAUUUAGGGUUCAGUGAGGUAAAUUUAGGGUAAAUUUAAUUGUUCGCUUGUGUUUGUGUGAUAUCUGUGGUUGCCGGCCAUCGAGCCGUUUGUUUUUGUAGGUUUGGAAAACCUCACCCUGCAGGGGAGGUGCUGCCGAAAUUUUGAAUUGAUGAUCGUGUAUCUUUUUGAUUUUCAGAGAAUAGUUUGUUUCGAGGCUAGCCAGAGUACCUCGCCUUCCUCGCUGUUGCAGAUCUGCCCACACCGUUUCGCCUCGCCUCUGCACCGAGAUGCCACGGCCCCGCUAGCCUAACGUCACCGCCACGUAAGGUAUAACCACUCUUUAUUUGUCUUGGUCAUCUAUCUCCACGUAACUUAGUUAGGCAUCUCCCGUUCGAAAUAGAUACGGUUAGAAAUAUGCAGAUCUUUGCAUAUCAAUAACCGUAUCUGUUUCGAAUUGUCCAUGUUUUUUUGGACAGCCCGAGGAUGUGUAGAUGAUGUUAGUUUCCAUGGUCUGCUCUGAUCUGAGACAGAGUUUCGAUAGUACCUCCAUGUUGUUCUUCGGAUACACAAUCUCCGUGUCGGGACGUGUAUUUGGAGAACAGCGAGGAGGUCCUACCAAAAUUCUGACUCAGAUCGGAGCAGACCAUGGAAACUAACAUCAUCUACACAUCCUCGGGUGGGAUUAGGAUCUAUCCUUACCUAUUAGAUGGUAGGAACGACGUGUAGAUGCAAGUCCAUAGUUAUAUUUAUUACUUGGGCAUAUAUAUGUUAGAGGAUGGAUGACCGUGAGUGGAUGUACUCGGGCCGCCGGAGCUCUCGUGAGAUUACCAGAGAAUGGGUCGACAUGACCGAGGCUUUUCAUCAAGCAAGCAUUUGACCAGGCUCCAGGAGCGCGUGCUGUUUUUUGUCCAUGCAGCAAUUGUAAGAACAGAAAAAGGCAAACAAAGGAGGGGAUGACUUCACAUCUGGCUAGGAAUGGAUUUAUGAAAAACUAUACCCAGUGGACCCACCACGGUGAAGCCGAUCGUGAGAGAGAGGAGGUGGUGAGACCACAUGUCGAGCAUUAUAAUGCUGAUGCUAAUGCCGGGGUAGCAGCUUGGUUAGAUGACUAUCACGCAGCACACUUCGCUGAAGGACGUCGAGAGGGAGAGGGGGAGGAGGAGCCAGAAGAAAGCGCAAAGGCGUAUUACAACAUGUUGUCUGCGGCAGGGAAACCCCUUCAUGGCCACACACAAGUUUCAAAGCUUGAUGGCAUUUCUCGCUUAAUGGCCUUAAAGUCCCAGUUCAACCUCAGUCGAGAGAACUUUGAUGAAAUGUUGACAGUUAUUGGCUCCAUCCUUCCGGCCGGUCACCUUUUGCCACAGAACAUGUACGAAUCACAGAAGGUUCUUCGUGCACUUAAGAUGCCGUAUGAGCAGAUACAUGCUUGUCCGAAGGGCUACGUCCUCUUUAGAAAAGCACACAAAGAUGCACAGUAUUGUCCAAAGUGUAAAUCCUCUAGGUAUCUGGAGGUAGACUCUGGUGAGGGUGAGAAGAGGCAGAGUUCGUAUCCCGCAAAAAUCCUACGGUACCUUCCAUUUAUACCGAGGAUCCAACGACUAUUCAUGACCGAGGAGUCCGCGAAACAGAUGACAUGGCACAAAAAUGGGAAAAGAUACAAUACUGACAAGAUGGUGCAUCCAUCUGAUGGUGAAGCAUGGCAUCACUUUGAUAACAUUCAUCGUGACAAAGCUACAGAGGCACGUAAUGUGCGUGUUGCACUGGCAACAGAUGGGUUCAAUCCUUAUGGAAUGGCCGCUGUCCCAUAUACUUGUUGGCCUGUGUUUGUUAUCCCCCUUAAUCUCCCCCCUGGGGUCUCCUUCCAACGACAGAAUGUGUUCUUAUCAUUGAUAAUUCCAGAACACUCGGGGAAUAACAUGGGUGUGUUCAUGGAGCCUUUGUUCGAUGAACUUGUCCAUGCUUGGGACCAUGGUGUAUGGACAUACGAUCGAGCUACAAAGACAAACUUCAACAUGCAUGUUUGGUAUCAAUACUCCAUGCAUGACUUUCUGGCAUAUGGGAUAUUCAGCGCUUGGUGUGUUCAUGGGAAGUUUCCAUGCCCCCUGUGCAAGACAGCUACGCAGUUCAAUUGGCUUCAAAAGGGUGGCAAAUACUCCGCGUUCGACAAACAUCGACAAUUUCUCCCGCCCAACCAUCCAUUCAGACGAGACAUCAAGAACUUUACUAAAGGUGUCAUGGUUACAGACCCCGCACCAGAGAUGAUGACCGGUGCCGAGGUUUAUGAUGAGAUAAAUGCUCUCCAGAUCAAUGCAAAAGAUGGUAAGUUCGUGGGAUAUGGUGUGGAGCAUAUGUGGACUCAUAAGUCGCCAUUGAUGAUGCUCCCCUAUUAUAAGGACCUUCUUCUUCCACACAACAUUGAUGUAAUGCACACCGAGAAGAAUGUUGCCGAGGCGCUUUGGGCAACGGUCAUGGACAUUCCUGAUAAGACAAAGGACAAUGUAAAGGUGAGAGUGGACCUGGCAACGAUAUGUGAUAGACCGAAGCUACACAUGCAACCUAGAAGCGGCAAAAAAUGGACAAGGCCUAAGGCCGAUUACAGAUUGAAACAGGAAGAAAAGAGAGAAGUAUUUGAAUGGACCAAAAGAAUAAUGUUCCCCGAUGGUUAUGCAGCAAAUUUGAGGAGGGGAGUCAACUUAUCUACUUUGCGGAUCAACGGCCUGAAGAGUCAUGACUAUCACAUAUGGAUUGAGUGUCUUCUUCCGGCGAUGCUUCGAGGCUAUGUCCCUGAGCAUUUGUGGAAGACGCUAUCCGAGUUGAGCUAUUUCUUCCGCUAGCUUUGUGCCAAGGAGUUAUCUCGUAGCGUGACUGCAGAAUUGGAAAAAAUGGCACAUGUGUUGCUCUGUAAGUUAGAGAAGAUCUUUCCACCCAGCUUCUUUAAUGCCAUGCAGCAUUUGAUUUUGCACCUCCCGUAUGAGGCACGAAUGUGGGGGCCCGUGUGGGCCCGUUGGUGCUAUCCAAUCGAGAGAUGUCUAAAGGUUCUUCGGAAGAAAUGCAGAAACAAAUGCAAAAUUGAGGCUUCCAUAGCAGAGGCAUUCGUUCUAGAGGAGGUUACUAACUUCACACAAGCAUACUAUGGUGACAAGCUUCCUAGCGUGCAUAAUAGACCCCCUCGUUACAAUGCUGGUGAAAAUGAAUCAAAACUCAAUCUUUUCCAAGGGCAAUUCGGAAGUGCAAGUUAUGGGACCUCAUUGUUGUUGAAAAAUGAAGAGUGGUGCACAAUCAUGAUAUAUGUCUUGACCAAUCUUAACGAAAUGGAGCCAUACAUGCAGUAAGUGGCUUCUUGCACGAACUUGUUGAAAGGUCCUAAUAUGGCUAGAGGGGGGGUGAAUAGCCUAUUUAAAAAAUUCUACAAACCCACUAGAGCAAGAGGUUAGUAAAUAACAAAGCGAAGCUUUUUGCUCUAGCUCUAAUGGGGUGUUUGCAAGCCACCUAUCCAACAAUUCUAGUUGAUAUAAUCACUAGGCACACAAGAGCUAUGUUACUACUUACACUAGAAAGCUACCUAAAGUUUCUAUACAAGUAAGUAAGCUACUCUAGUUUGCGGGAAUGUAAAAGAGAUGGUUUGAACUUUAUACCGCCGCGUAGGGGGGAUGAACCAAUCAAUAAUAUGAAGUCCAAUCACCGGGAGAAAUCCAAUGAACAAUCACAAUGAAGACACACAAUUUUUCUCCCGAGGUUCACGUGCUUGCCGGCACGCUACGUCCCCGUUGUGUCGACCAACACUUGGUGGUUCGGUGGCUAAGAGGUGUAGCACGAACCUCGUCCUCACUAGGACACCACAAGAACCUACCCACAAGUGAGGUAGCUCAAUGACACGAGCAAUCCACUAGAGUUACCUUUCGGCUCUCCGCCGGGGAAGGUACAAGACCCCUCACAAUCACCGGGAGAUGGCCACAAACAAUCACCAACUCGUGCCAAUCCUCCUCCGCUGCUCCAAGCCGUCUAGGUGGCGGCAACCACCAAGAGUAACAAGAAAACCGCAGCUAGAACGAUCCCCAAGUGCCACUAGAUGCAAUCACUCAAGCAAAUGCACUUGGAAUCACUCCCAAUCUCACAAAGAUGUAUAAUCUAUGAAGGAGAUGAGUGGGAGGUGUUUGCUUAGUCUCACAAGGAUGUCAAGUAUGCUAGAAUGCCAAGAGAGUUAGCCCCAAGCCAGCCAAACACGAAUAUAUAGCCCCUCAAACAAAUAGAGCCGUUGGCUCUUUCACUGGGCAAACUGCGGGGUCACCGGACGCUCUUAAAGGGGCACCGGACGCUCAACACCAGCGUCCGGUGCUCCAACGUCAGCCACGUGUCACGCUCGUGUCAGAAUCUAACGGUCACCUGCAGUGCACCGGACGCUGAGCAAGUGAGCACCGGACGGUCCGGUGCACACCGGACUCAUGCGCAGAGAGCUCCGCAAACUCGCAGGGUCACCGGACGCAAGCCACCGGACGCACCCUGAGCGUCCGGUGCUCACCGGACUCAUGCGCAGAGAGGUUUGCAAAACAUCCUCACACCGGACGCACACCACCGGACGCUCCAAGCUGCGUCCGGUGUCUAUCGUCCGGUGCCUAACCCUAACCGAGUCAGGCAGCCUGCACACCGGACGCUCAGACACAGCGUCCGGUGCCUCUGAGCCAGCGUCCGGUGAGUGUUCCUCAGCGAGAAACACUCCCGCGACUUCUCCAAUUUUCCCACCGGCGCAAUAGAAAGUAUGCACUUCAUUUUCUCAAAAGCGCCGAAUCCCGCCUCGCAAGCUCGGCGGGAGGGAGAGAGGAACCCAUCCUCUCUCUAACCUUCAAACUCCACCUCCUUCUCAAAGUGUGCCAACACCACAACGUGUAAACCAACAUGUGCACGUGUGUUAGCAUUUUCACAAUCAUUUUCUUUGAAGGAGUUAAGUUAGCUUACUAGGUUCUAAAUGCAAGCACAUGAACAAUGACACCUAGUGGCACUUGAUAACCGCUUAGCCAAAGCAUUCCCCUCUUUAUAGUACGGCUAUCUAUCCUAAAUGUGAUCACACCCUCUAUGGUGUCUUGAUCACCAAAACCAAAACCCUAAGCAAUACCUUUGCCUUGAACUCCAUAGGGUUUUGUUUUUCUCUUUCUUCUUUUCCAAGUUGAGCACUUGAUCAUCUUGUGGUCAUCACCAUCAUCACCAAGAUCAUCACUUGCUCCAUCACUUGGCAUGGACCAACCUCAUUAAGUCUACACAUAUUUAGCAUAGAGGUUAGUACUAGGGUUUCAUCAAUUAUCCAAAACCAAACUAGGGCUUUCAAUCUCCCCCUUUUUGGUAAUUGAUGACAACCCUUUUUACAAAGAUUUUCAAUAAAAAUUUUCUUGGAUUCAUGUUGCUUGCCCAAGCAUUUUACCAUGUGCAAAGGUUAUGGACAAGUUUCAUAAACCCAAAUUGGUAGCAAUUGCUCCCCCUACAUAUGUGCUAAGAGUUUGGAUUUGAAAGCUUGCACAUAUGCUUGAAUAGGAAAAAUAGGAGUCAAUUUCUACCAAAUGAUGCUAAGGUGUAGAGAAUGGACCUUUGAAGCGUGAUACCAAUCGGAGUUGCCAAUUUACACCAUCCUUAGCACCAUUAGUAACUAGACAUUCACGAAACUAGAACACCCCGUGAGAUCAACAUUAUAAACAAGGUUCUAAUACUACUUGUGAAGCAAAUAAAGGUCUAGUUACACUACCUAUGUAUGCUAGUUCUUCAUUUUAUCAAGCAAACCUAUAACUAGCAUACACCACACAAGCAAGGUAUCAGAGAGAAAGCUUCUAAAGCUAAAUGCAAAUGCAAGCAACCAUAUGUGAUGCACAUACAAAUGCAACAUACAAGUUUAUGAGCUUGCUCCCCCUACUUGUGUGCUUCAAAAAAUUUUAAUUGAUCCUCUUCUUUUAUCAUCUUAAUUGAUCCCCUUCUUUUAUCAUGGUACCUUCUUUUAUUUGAUCCCCUUCUUUUAAUCUUUGGGAAAUUCUCUCCCCCUUUGUCAUCAAAGACCACAAAAGGUGAGCUCAAAUUUUAGAAAGGUUAGUGUGAAACCAUGUGAAGUGAGAUCAUUUUACCAAAUUGGUCCAAUCUAGAUUACUUGCCUAAGAUAUUUAACUCGGUUUGAUCCAAGGACAAGCUUCUUCACACCUCCAAAUAAGGGUUAUCUUGUACCAUGUUGAGUUAAACACUUAUAGCUCAUAUUCUAGAUCAAACUCUAGGAUUGCAAGCCAACAAACAUGUCAUAUGCUACCACUAGAUCAAGUCAAGCAUAAAAGCAAUAGUGGUACCAUACAAGCAUCAAAUUCAUUUGAUUUUCAUGAAUGAGCCUAAGACAUGUAAGGAAUGACUAGAUGCACUAAACAAGUCCUUAGCAAAGAUGGAUGACAUGUCAAACAAUUUCACCUUGCUUUGCUCGAAGGAGAGGCAAGUCAUAAAGUGGGGGUGCAUCAACACAUAUUUGAGAAGUCAAGUAUGUUCAAUUCAUUCCUUAGCUUGCAAAACCUCUUCUCAUCAAGUGGCUUGGUGAAUAUGUCGGCAAGUUGAUCAUCGGUGCCUAUACUCUCAAUGCAAAUGUCCCCUUUUUGUUGAUGAUCUCUUAUGAAGUGAUGGCGGACAUCUAUGUGCUUUGUUCUUGAGUGUUGAACCGGAUUGUUGGUGAGCUUCACGGCACUUUCAUUGUCACAUAGCAAUGGCACUUGUUUGAAGUUGAUUCCAAAAUCCUUCAAUGUUGCCUUCAUCCAUAGAAUUUGUGCACAACAACUACCGGCCGCAAUGUACUCCGCUUCGGCGGUUGAUAGUGCAACACUAUUUUGCUUCUUGGAUGACCAUGAGACAAGUGAUCUUCCCAAUAGUUGACAUGUGCCCGAUGUGCUUCUUCUUUCAACUUUGCAUCCCGCAUAGUCCGAAUCGGAAUAUCCAACAAGUUCAAACUUUGCACCUUUGGGAUACCACAAACCAACAUUUUGUGUAUGCUUCAAGUACCUCAAUAUUCUCUUUGUUGCUUUCCAAUGACUUUCUCUUGGUGAGGCUUGGAAUCUUGCACACAUGCAUACACUAAACAUGACAUCCGGUCUUGAUGCGGUCACAUAGAGUAGGCUUCCAAUCAUGGACCGAUACAACUUUUGAUCCACCAUAUUUCCACUUGUAUCACUGUCUAGGCUUCCAUUUGUUCCCAUUGGUGUGCUAAUUGAUUUUGCAUCAUCCAUACCAAACUUCUUGAGCAUGUCUUUUAUGUACUUGCCUUGACUCACAAAUGUGCCAUUUUUCAAUUGCUUGAUUUGAAGACCAAGGAAGUAACUAAGUUCUCCAAUCAUUGACAUCUCAAACUCAUUAGCCAUCAUGUUUCCAAACUCCUCACAAAAUUCUUGGUUGGUUGAUCCAAAUAUGAUAUCAUCAACAUAUAUUUGCAACACAAACAAGUCUUUGCCAAUCUUCUUGGUGAAGAGAGUGGUGUCAACCUUGCCCAUCUUGAAACCUUUAGAGAGUAAGAAAUCUCUCAAUCUCUCAUACCAUGCUCUAGGUGCUUGCUUCAAACCAUACAAUGCCUUUCUUAGCUUGUAAACAUGGUUGGGUUUCUUGUCAUCUUCAAAACCGGGAGGUUGCUCAACAUAUACUUCUUCAUUGAUAUAUCCAUUGAGAAAUGCACUCUUGACAUCCAUUUGGUAUAGCUUGAUGUUAUGAGCACAAGCAUAGGCCAACAAGAUCCUAAUUGCUUCCAAUCUUGCAACCGGGGCAUAUGUUUCACCAAAGUCAAGACCUUCAACUUGAGUGUAACCUUGUGCUACCAAUCUUGCUUUGUUCCUUACAACUAUCCCAUCUUGAUCUUGUUUGUUGCGAAAGACCCAUCUAGUACCAAUGACAUUAUGAUCACUAGGUCUCUCAACUAACUCCCAUACUUGAUUUCUCUUGAAAUUGUUAAGCUCUUCAUGCAUAGCAUUAACCCAAUCAACAUCUCUCAAUGCUUCAUCAAUCUUCUUUGGCUCAAUGUGAGACACAAAGGAGAAAUGCUCACAAAAUGAUGCUAAUCUUGAUCUAGUUUGCACUCCUCUUUGAAUGUCACCUAUGAUAUGAUCCAAUGGAUGAUCUCUUGCAAUAUUUGUUGGUUGGAGUAUUUGCACUUGAUUGCUUGCACUUGGUUGAUCAUGAGAUGAUGUACUAGCUUGUUGAUCUUGCACUUGUGUACCACUUGUACUAGCUUGAUUUUGAUCAUGUGAACCACAAGCUUGCACAUUAGAGGUAGGAAUCACUUGAUCUUUGUCAUCUUCAUCAAUCACCUCUCUAGGCCUUAAAUCACCAAUAUCCAUAUUUUUCAUUGCAUCGGCCAAUUGAGUGCCUCUCACAUCAUCUAGAUUUUCUUCUUCCUCUUGAGAGCCAUUUGUUUCAUCAAACUCAACAUCAUGCACCUCCUCAAGAGUACCACUAGCCAAAUUCCAAACUCUAUAAGCUUUGCUAGUAGUUGAGUAACCAAGCAAGAAUCCUUCAUCACAUUUCUUCUCAAAUUUACUCAAUCUAGUGCCUUUCUUCAAUAUGUAGCAUUUGCAACCAAAAACCCGAAAGUAUGCAAUGUUGGGCUUUCUUCCAUUCAAGAGCUCAUAUGGUGUCUUCUCCAUCAUUGGGUGACAAUAGAGUCGGUUGCUAUAGUAGCAAGCCGUGUUGAUUGCUUCGGCCCAAAAAGAAUGACUCACAUUGUAUUCACUCAACAUUGAUCUUGCCAUGUCAAUCAAGGUUCUAUUCUUCCUCUCAACAAGACCAUUUGAUUGUGGAGUGUACUUGGCCGAGAAUUGAUGCCUAAUGCCAAAUUCAUCACAAAGCUCAUCAACUCUUGUGUUCUUGAAUUCACUUCCAUUGUCACUUCUCACUUUCUUGAUGGUUGUUUCAAACUCAUUGUGUACUCUCUUGACAAAUGAUUUGAAGGUUGCAAAAGCAUCACUUUUGUCACUAAGAAAGAAUACCCAUGUAUAUCUUGUGAAAUCAUCCACUAUCACAAAUCCAUAUUUAUUUCCACCAAUGCUUGUGUAUGUGGUUGGUCCAAAUAAGUCCAUGUGCAACAACUCAAAUGCCUUGCAUGUGCUCAUGAUGCUCUUCUUUGGAUGAGUGUUGCCAACUUGCUUUCCGGCUUGACAUGCACUACAAAGCUUGUCUUUCUCAAAUGUGACAUCUUUCAAGCCUCUAACAAGAUCAUGCUUAACUAACUUGUUCAAUUGUUUCAUACCAACAUGACCAAGCCUUCUAUGCCAUAACCAACCCAUGCUAGAUUUAGUGAGCAAGCAUGUUGACAAUUGAGCUUCACUUGCAUUGAAAUCAACCAAGUAUAGAUUCUCAUAUCUAAAGCCUUUGAAUAUCAAGUUUGAGCCAUCUACACUUAUGAUCUCUACAUCAUCAACUCCAAAUAUGCAUUUGAAACCAAGAUCACAAAGUUGAGCUACGGAUAGCAAAUUGAAGUUCAAGCUCUCUACUAGUAGCACAUUGGAAAUGCUCAAGUCAUUGGAUAUAGCAAUUUUACCAAGCCCUUUGACCUUGCCUUUGCCAUUGUCACCAAAUGUGAUACUAUCAACACCAUUGUCAUCAUUUGGAUUGAUUGAAUUGAACAUUCUUGAAUCACCGGUCAUGUGUUGUGUGCACCCACUAUCAAGCACCCAAUGCCUUCCUCCGGCUUUAUAGUUUACCUACAAAACAAAUCAAUGUUUCUUAGGUACCCAUACUUGCUUGGGUCCUUGGAGGUUAGUGACUAAGCUUUUUGGUACCCAAAUGGCCUUCUUCUUUGGACCCACAAUUGGUGUACCAACAAACUUAGCAUGCACACCCUUCUCACCCUUGGUAAGCACAUAACAAGAAUCAAAAGGAAUGUAAGGUACAUUAGCAAUUUUCUUGUUCUUGUUCAUUUUGUUGCAAUUAAGCUCUAGGUGCCCAACUUGCUUGCACUUGUUGCAAUACCAACCAUUGUUUUUCACAAAGCUAGGCUUGUGAGUUGCAAAAGCUUUCUUGCCCUUCUUGGGGGUAUAGCCUAGUCCCUCUUUGUUGAGAGAAAACCUUUGGCUACCCAAGCACUUUAGCAAGCGGGCCUCACCACCAUAGGCUUUGCCUAGGGCGUGAGUGAGCUCAUCCACCUCUCUCUUGAGAGUCUCAUUCUCAUCCUUUAGUGAGGUAUCACAAGUGACACUAACACUAGAAGUAGAGGUAGAGUUGAUGGUGGUGGAUGAAGGCCUACAUGAAGAGUUAGUGGCAACAACAAUAGGUGGGUUGGGUGAUUCUUUAAUUAAGUCACAUGUUGUGCCCACAUCACAUGAUACAACAACCUUUUCCUUGUUCUCUUCUAACAACAAGGAGUGAGCUUUCUCAAGCUUGGUGUGAGCCUUGCCAAGCUUCUCAUGGGCUUCCACUAGCCUCUCAUGAUUAGCAUUGAGCUCAUCAAAGGAUUGCUCAAGAGCUUUUAACUUCUUGGCCAAUUCUUUGCACUUCUUGUUUUUAGAUUGAAUGAGAGAAUCGGCUUGUUCUAACAUGUCCAUGAGUUGUUCAUUAGUGAAUUCAUUUUCAUCAUCACUAUCACUAUCAUGUUCAUGUUCACUUUCACUUUCACUCUCAUCAUAUUGUACCUUGUGGCCCUUGGCCAUGAAGCAUGAAGGAGUGUCGAAGAGUGAUGGCUUGUUGUUGAUAGCAAUGCUAGCAAGUGCCUUCUUCUUGGAUGCUUUGUCAUCAUCACUUGAAUCAUCAUCCGAAGAGGCAUCACUAUCCCAUGUCACAACAUAGGAUCCACCCUUCUUCUUCUUUUUGAAGACCAUCUUCUUCUCCUUCUUUUCUUUCUUUUCCUUCUUGUUCUUCUUGUCAUGCUCAUCAUUGUCACUGUUGUAAGGACAAUCCGCCACAAUAUGAUCGGGGCUCUUGCACUUGUAGCAUAGCCUCACAUGCUCCUUGUUUUUGAAGUAAUCUCUUCUCUUUCUUGUGUGAUAGCCCUUCUUCUUCAUCAUCUUGCCAAACUUGCGGACGAAGAGUGCUAGUGCUUCAUCAUCACUAUCAUCAUUAGAGCACUCCUCAUCACUUGAUUCUUCCUUCUUGGCCUUGCCCUUGUUCUUGCUCUUGGAUGAAGAACUAGCUUUGAAUGCUACACUCUUCUUCUUCUUGUCAUCAUCAUCCUUCUUUAUGACCUCAUCAUCAUCAUUAUCGUUAUAUUGAUCUUCGGUCAUGACAUCUCCAAGUACCUCAUUGGGAGAUACACCGGUCAAUCCACCUCUAAAGAUGAUUGUUCUCAAUGUCUUGAACCUCUUGGGCAAGCACAUCAAGAACUUGUGAAUGAAGUCCUCAUCCUUUACUUUCUCACCAAGGCCCUUGAGAUCAUUGAUGAUGACUUGGAGCCUAUAGAACAUCUCCGGUAUAGACUCAUCAUCCUUCAUCUUGAAGUUUGAAAGCUUGUCCUUGAGCAUGUACAACUUGGCACUUUUUACCGUUGUAGUUCCCUCAUAUGUUUCUUCAAGUCUUGUCCAUACUUCACUAGCCUUCUCAAGAUCUUUGACUUGUUCAAAUACUUUUGAAUCAAUGCCAUUGUAUAUUGUGUUGAGAGCCAUAGUAUUGCAUUGCUUGUUUGCUCUCUCAUUGUCGGUGGGGUUAGCGGGGUCAAGGAUCACAAAAUCAUUCUCCGUGACUUCCCACACUCUAUCAUUGAUUGAUCCAAGGUACAUCUUCAUUUUUCUCUUCCAAUAGUCAAAAGAGCUUGUGCCAUCAAAGAACGGUGGUUUGCCCCCAACAUGGUUGAACACUAUUUGAGCCAUAAUUUGAGCACCGAGGUUGUUAAGCCUUCACAAACGGUGACCACGGCUUUGAUACCACUUGAAAGGUCCUAAUAUGGCUAGAGGGGGGGUGAAUAGCCUAUUUAAAAAAUUCUACAAACCCACUAGAGCAAGAGGUUAGUAAAUAACAAAGCGAAGCUUUUUGCUCUAGCUCUAAUGGGGUGUUUGCAAGCCACCUAUCCAACAAUUCUAGUUGAUAUAAUCACUAGGCACACAAGAGCUAUGUUACUACUUACACUAGAAAGCUACCUAAAGUUUCUAUACAAGUAAGUAAGCUACUCUAGUUUGCGGGAAUGUAAAAGAGAUGGUUUGAACUUUAUACCGCCGCGUAGGGGGGAUGAACCAAUCAAUAAUAUGAAGUCCAAUCACCGGGAGAAAUCCAAUGAACAAUCACAAUGAAGACACACAAUUUUUCUCCCGAGGUUCACGUGCUUGCCGGCACGCUACGUCCCCGUUGUGUCGACCAACACUUGGUGGUUCGGUGGCUAAGAGGUGUAGCACGAACCUCGUCCUCACUAGGACACCACAAGAACCUACCCACAAGUGAGGUAGCUCAAUGACACGAGCAAUCCACUAGAGUUACCUUUCGGCUCUCCGCCGGGGAAGGUACAAGACCCCUCACAAUCACCGGGAGAUGGCCACAAACAAUCACCAACUCGUGCCAAUCCUCCUCCGCUGCUCCAAGCCGUCUAGGUGGCGGCAACCACCAAGAGUAACAAGAAAACCGCAGCUAGAACGAUCCCCAAGUGCCACUAGAUGCAAUCACUCAAGCAAAUGCACUUGGAAUCACUCCCAAUCUCACAAAGAUGUAUAAUCUAUGAAGGAGAUGAGUGGGAGGUGUUUGCUUAGUCUCACAAGGAUGUCAAGUAUGCUAGAAUGCCAAGAGAGUUAGCCCCAAGCCAGCCAAACACGAAUAUAUAGCCCCUCAAACAAAUAGAGCCGUUGGCUCUUUCACUGGGCAAACUGCGGGGUCACCGGACGCUCUUAAAGGGGCACCGGACGCUCAACACCAGCGUCCGGUGCUCCAACGUCAGCCACGUGUCACGCUCGUGUCAGAAUCUAACGGUCACCUGCAGUGCACCGGACGCUGAGCAAGUGAGCACCGGACGGUCCGGUGCACACCGGACUCAUGCGCAGAGAGCUCCGCAAACUCGCAGGGUCACCGGACGCAAGCCACCGGACGCACCCUGAGCGUCCGGUGCUCACCGGACUCAUGCGCAGAGAGGUUUGCAAAACAUCCUCACACCGGACGCACACCACCGGACGCUCCAAGCUGCGUCCGGUGUCUAUCGUCCGGUGCCUAACCCUAACCGAGUCAGGCAGCCUGCACACCGGACGCUCAGACACAGCGUCCGGUGCCUCUGAGCCAGCGUCCGGUGAGUGUUCCUCAGCGAGAAACACUCCCGCGACUUCUCCAAUUUUCCCACCGGCGCAAUAGAAAGUAUGCACUUCAUUUUCUCAAAAGCGCCGAAUCCCGCCUCGCAAGCUCGGCGGGAGGGAGAGAGGAACCCAUCCUCUCUCUAACCUUCAAACUCCACCUCCUUCUCAAAGUGUGCCAACACCACAACGUGUAAACCAACAUGUGCACGUGUGUUAGCAUUUUCACAAUCAUUUUCUUUGAAGGAGUUAAGUUAGCUUACUAGGUUCUAAAUGCAAGCACAUGAACAAUGACACCUAGUGGCACUUGAUAACCGCUUAGCCAAAGCAUUCCCCUCUUUAUAGUACGGCUAUCUAUCCUAAAUGUGAUCACACCCUCUAUGGUGUCUUGAUCACCAAAACCAAAACCCUAAGCAAUACCUUUGCCUUGAACUCCAUAGGGUUUUGUUUUUCUCUUUCUUCUUUUCCAAGUUGAGCACUUGAUCAUCUUGUGGUCAUCACCAUCAUCACCAUGAUCAUCACUUGCUCCAUCACUUGGCAUGGACCAACCUCAUUAAGUCUACACAUACUUAGCAUAGAGGUUAGUACUAGGGUUUCAUCAAUUAUCCAAAACCAAACUAGGGCUUUCACUUGUUAAUUAAAUAUGCCGUCAACGUUCUCCUUCCAACCUCCUUGUUUCUUGUUUUUUAUAGGGAGUCUAUUAAUGAGAACUGGCAUCUAUCAAGGGAACCUACCCCGCAAGAACGUGACACCAUUCUUCAUCAGGCUGGGGGAAAUGGAACCUCUGAUUUUAUUUCUUGGUUCAAACAAAAGGUACUAUGCAAUUUAGCUCGUACUUAAUUUGACAUUCCAAAUUCCUUGUGCAUUCCAGUUUAACGAUCUAUCCUCCUUGACCUUGCAGAGUCAAACUGAUUUGACUAUGAAUCUAGAGUUGAGACAGGUUGCCAAUGGCUUUGAACAUAGGGUCAAAUCAUUUUCUUGUUAUGAUGUGAAUGGAUACCGAUUUCACACAACAAGACACGAGCAGAGCCGACCCAAUUGAAAAACCACGAAUUCCAGAGUUUUUACUGGUGGCCUUGAUGGGGCUGAGUUUUAUGGAAGAAUUGAAGAAAUAUACGAACUAAGGUUUCGUGGUCGCAAACCUCUUAAUCUUGUCAUAUUCAAAUGCCAUUGGUUUGAUCCUCAAGAAACAAGACGAAGUCCUUCCCUUGGGCUAAUAGAAAUUCGACAGGAUUCCGUCUAUGGCGGAAAGGAUGUCUAUAUUGUGGCUCAACAGGCCACACAAGUGUAUUAUCUCCCAUACGCGUGCCAAAGGGACCCUCUUCUUCAGGGUCGGGAUAUUGUGCACAAGGUAUCGCCGCAUGGUAAAGCACCUUCCCCAAAUGACGAAGACUACAACUUUGACCCAAACACAUAUGAUGGAGAAUUCUAUCAAGAAGAUGGCCUACAAGGGACUUUUGAGAUUGACUUAACCGGAGCUAUGGAAAUGGAAGUAGACAAUGAAAUGGAUGUUGAUGUGGACGAUGGGGAUGAGGUGGAAAAUGCGAAGGACUUGGAGUUACUUGAACAAUUAUGUAGUGGCAAUGGUAGUGAUGACAUCGUUGCUCCUUUGGAAAGUGUUGAACAUCUUGACAUGGCUGAUAGUGAUGAUGAGAGCUAUGAUCCAGCUAAUCCCGAUGCGGAUGAUUAUUUCUAAUACAUGUAACUAUGCUUUAUUUAUUUUGCAUCUCUUUAUUAUAAUAUCUUAUUUAUGAUCCUGCUAAUCUGAUCUUAUUGUUUAUGUCUUGUAGGUGAUUGUGCAAAGAUGUCGGGCCCGGGCCGCAGAGCUUUGCGGUCGCUCAGCGAGUUGUACAACAUGAGGAGUGGAGCCCAGGCAGCUGGCGGGUCGGCACCGCCUCAGGGGACGCGGAGGAGGGUCAGGAGGAGGUCUAGGGCACCACCGCCUCCGCCAGACCCCUCGGAGAGGCUGGAGGAGCAGGUGGACGAGCAGGCUCACCAGGGAGGGGACGAGCACGCGCAGGCUCACCAGGGAGGGGACGAGGCGGACGAGGAGGACGAGCAGGCUCGGCAGGGGGAGGACGAGGCGGACGAGGAGGACGAGCAGGAGGAUGAGGCAGGAGGUUCUGAGACCUCCUCAAGUGUCUACCAACGAGGUCCGGCGAGCCUACCUGAUCGGCCCCCUGCUGCUCUACGCCCGGUCAUUCGACCCAUUGGGCAACAGUAUGUAACUUAUACAUUUUUUUGCUACUACGUAUGAUAGACUUACAAUGGAAACUAAUAGUUUUUUUUCAUAAUCACUUAUGCAGGUCUUGGAAGGUCGUGGUCCCAGGUGCUCACAAAAGGUUGCCCAAUGGCAUCGUGGGCCUUCUCUGUAGGGAACACUUCCCAUGCAUGGUUCACUACAACGAGAAGUACGAGCCGGCCACCACGUAUGAGCACUACCUCGCUGCAGAUGAUGCUCCGGACGUGACGGGCCACACGUAUGAUAGCGUGGCGGAGCGGAUUAUGCAUGAGUUUUAUGUAAGUCUUCCUCGCACUACUUUGCUCAAUACAUUGCAUUCGCUAGGCUUUCUUGAACUAGUGUACUAAUACAUAUUUUAUAUAUGCAGGACUACUUCAAAGUAGAGGAGGGCUAUGAGACGAGGGCGCCCAAGGUGUUGGCCAAAUCAUGUAGAAAGCGCAUCACAGACAUGCAUUACGAGGUGCGGCUCCAGGCGAUCAUCGAUUACUGUGCCAUCUAUGAGCUUUGGAAGGUAAAGAAACAAGAUGCUAGACUAAUGCAUCUGACCCGAGAGCAGUACCUAAAGGUAAAUAUACAUCAAUAUUGAUUUCUUCUAAGAUUUGGUAGGCUUCAAUACUUCUUAUAUCUGUCAAUGUACUUGAUGUCGUGCAGGUGCCUCCUAGCUGGUGCGCCAAUAAAACGUUGGCUUGGGAGAAGAUGGUCGACGAGUGGCUGAGUUAACAGUGGGCUAAUAGCCACACUGUCCUCCGAGACCGGCGUAUGAUGAUGCAAGGUGUAUCCCACCACCAGGGCAACCUUAACAUCGAUGAAUACGGGGCUAGAUGGGUAGGUGACUUGGUGUAGCUUCAUUUAUUAUUUCAAACGCUUAUUCUUGCAUUCCUAUUAUUAAUUGUCUUGCUGUUUUUCUCGCAGUCGGCUGCACAUCAAAACCAGCCAUGUGGACGGCUUAAGGCAUGGGUUCUGUCCCACAAGGACAAGGCGACCGCAAACAUUGAUUGGAACCCGGACAAUGACCCAGCUGAGUCGUACACCAACACCAGCAUCCCUGAGAUUGUCAGUCAGUACACCGAGGCAGCAAGGACGGUCCAUGGGGAGGGGUUCGAUCCGCACACCGCGGACCUUGACGGUGACAUCGUCAUGAGGGUGGGAGGAGGCAAGAAGCGUGGGCGGUACCUCAUCGGCAACAGCACGCUUGACCCGCAAACCACUCCCACUCUCUCACAGGUUCGGGCAAGCAGCAGGAGCGAUAGCGUGCCCAUACGCCCAAGGGUGGACACUUCGACGCAUCGUGUUGCUGCCCUACAGGUUAUUUCUGUUUUAUUCAUCGUUCAUUGGUUUUUACAUUCCUCGAAAUUGCUUGUAACAAUGCGGUAAAAAAUUAUAGGCCCAGGUGCAAGCGCUAGAGGAGCAUAAGGCUAUGAUGGAGGAAGCGCAACGGAGGGAGCGAGAGUUCCAGACACAGAGGUUCGACGCCUUGGCUCAGUACGUGGCAAGCCUUGGCCUCACGAUGGGUCGUCUAGCGCCACCAGAGUUGUUCGCUCCUCCACCUUACCCACAGCCACCUUACGUGAGUUCAACUUCUCUAACAAAACGUCUUUAUUGUGCACGUCGGACAUCGUGCUGUUCAUAUGUGAUGGGAUGCCUUCGUGCCAUUGAUAUAUAUGUGUCUCGACCAUCGUGCCGUUGAGAUGUGGUGGACGGCCAUCGUGCCGUUAGUUUUCUUGCAGGUUUUGGAAACCCCAGGUAUAGGGGAGGUGUUGCCGAAUUUUUUAUGUGUCUAGGCUUAGAUUACAAAUUUAUAACAAAUUUUUGACUUUACUAAGCCUAGAUUACAAUUUUAUGCCUUAGUAUAAGUACUAAUUUUUCUUCUCCUUUGUGCAGGUUCAAUCGGCGGGUUCGAAUGAGGUGCCUCCGUCCGGAGGGUUAGCGAAUCCACCACUUCUACAGCUUCAGCCACCGUCGAGUGGGUCGGGGUAUGGGUAUCCACCACGUGCGCCUCCGUCGCAGCAGCUGCCUCCAGGAGGGGCAAAUUGGGAUGCAUGGCAGCAGUGAACUUGUGGAUGUUGUGAAACUUUGAGAUACUUUAUGAUAUUUUGAGAUAAUGUGAUGGACAUGGUAUGGAUAUUGUGAUACACUUUGUUAAUAUAUGUGAUGGACAUGUUGGUUUUGCAAUUUGAGUUGGAUGUGUUAUAUCUGUUAAUUGUUAAUAUGUGUUUUAUCUGUGAAUAAUAGCUGGAAUCAAAACAGAAUUAAAAAAAGCUCUCUGGAGCCUUUGCCGAGAGCUAAACGUUUGCCGAGAGCCGAAACUGCACGGCUCUAUGCAAAUCCUGGACCUUAGCCGAGAGGCCAGCUCUCGGCAAAGAGUCAGUCUACCGAGAGCCAAGCUCUAAGCUCUCGGCAAAUUAACUGUUUGCCGAGAGGCGAGCUCUCGGCAAAGCCCUGUAAAAAAUGGUGGAAUCCUUCUUUCAUUUUUUUAAAAAGUCUUUGCCGAGCUGGGCUCUCGGCAAACCUCAAUAUAAAAUAAAUUUUGCAAACCAGCUCGACUGCCAUUCUUUUUCUUUUUUUUACAAAAAUUAUUUACCAAGCGGGGCUCUCGGCAAAGAAGUUCGAAAAGUUGUCAGAACUGACCGUUAACGGUCGUUUUGGCCGUUACUAGCGCUAACGUUCGCCGAGAGCUAUAGUUUGCCGAGAGGUGGACUCCAUGUGCUCGGGAACAAUUUUCCCGAGAGCGGCUCUCGGCAAACGAUCCUUUGCCGGUAGCUUGUUUGUCGGCGUUUCUUUGGCGAGAGCUGCUCUCGGCAAAAUGUUUGCCGAGUGUGUUUGCCCAUUUGCCGAGCGUUCUAAGCUCUCGGCAAAGGACUGGAAUCCGGUAGUCUAUGUAGGGCCAUGUUCAGUUGUUAGCCAUAGUUUUUGCUACUGCGAGUAGAAUACACAGGCACAUAUAUGGUGUCACAAAUAUUUUAUUAGUUUUGUGGAUUAAAUUAUGUCUAAAAUUUCCUAAAUAUCUUUUUUUAGAAUUACACAGUACAACAUAGAAGCCUAACACGCACGCACACUCACCCGUAAACUCUACCCGGCCUAUAAGCAAUUCCGAAGGACUGAGUUGACAGAUCUUGAGAUUCAUGAAGUCACCACAUGUGUCUUGCUGUUGACGGGGACAUCGCUUAAUACUGAAAAGCACAUAUAUAGCGUCAUUAAAUCCUAAAAAAAUCUAGAAAAUGCGAAACGCAUGUACUAAACACGAGCACUUUAAUUAGCUCGGGUGGACAGAUUCUACCGUAAGGAAUCCAACCAACUCAUUUAUGAUCAAUUCACAAAAUUACCUAAAUAUCUAACGAUCAAUCUCGGCUGCAUCACUUUUUGCUACAGAUGAAAAAACCUGUAGAAGCCCUGACAAAGAGGACGUAAUUAUACCGAAAUCAAAGUGAAGCGCGCGUAGUGUCUCAGCUGCUUUUAUCUCUGCAUGCUUUGGUAUUGAAGAAGCAACACAGCAUGGCAAAAGGCAUGUAGUAAUACAUGUAUACAACACAAAACGUACCCACCAGUUAUGCAAACUAAAGCUUAACAAUCUUCAGACCCGCAGUUUCCCAAAAGUACAUACUACGUACUCCUAGGUGGUAGCUACAGCAAAAAGUAAUUAAUUACUUAGCCAAUAUAAUACAAGCAACUAGUACCCAGCUAGAUGCAGGAGUAGGGAUAGUAGGGGUAUACAUGCAUGGGAUGGAGCAAAUACUACUACUAGAGAAGCUGGCCGCCGAUGAAUGCCCACCAGCGCAACCAGUCUACAGAUCAUGGCGCGCAAUCUUUCAGGCGGAGGUUUUCAUGGCGGCUGCGGGCAUGCUGCUCUUUUUCGAGCUAGUGUGCGGUUCUCUCCGGCGACGAAGCAACAACUCGUUUGUCCACCGGGGGCUAUGGGUGGCCUACACCCUCCUUCCCCUUCUCAUCACCUACACCCUCGGCCUGAUGCAGUCCGCUCAUGCCAAAGUGCUCAUGUAUCCCGUGUGGGCGCUGUCCCUGAUGAUCGCCGGAGGCGCCACCUCCAUCACCGCCCAUGACCUCGACGACAACAAGCAGUGGAAGCGAGCUCUGUUCGUCAUUCUCCAGUAUGACAUGUACUUCUGCAUAAUACUGUUUCAGCUGGUGUACCCCAACCCCAACCAGCAGAUAAGCGUCGCCCACGCAGCGACCCCCGUCCUGGACAGCAUAAAGCUUCUGCUAUGGCACCCCAUCGCCGUCCCCGUCUUGCUCCUCUUCACCACUGUCUGCAUUGCCCAUACCUUUGGAGCAAUCGCUGGCUGGAGGGCCAACUACUCCUACCCUAGCAAAAUGGUUGCCGACUACAUGAAGCGUCAUGCCGCUGCAGCGGCAGCGGCAUCCAGAUCAAGAUCACCAUCAUCGUCGUCGUCGUCAGGCCGAGGCUACUUGGAUCCUGUCAGCAUGAAGUACUUGGUCAGCUGGCCGGCCUACAAGGUAUCCCGCACUACAGCACCAAGUGGCCAUAGGAGCUCCUCCACUGUCUCCAGAAUGAUGAGAUGCCAAGCGCAAGCGGUGGCAGAAGAGGACGACGAAGGGCUCAUCACUGUGGAGAAGAUCGGGGACUGGUGCUGCAGGAACGAAGACAAGUUCAGGUCAUGGGGCGUCAGCACGUCCCGGAUCAAAGGCGCCUGCCUUGCAUAUUCCCUGUCUCACCUGCUGAUGCGCCGCUUCUUCGGGAUGGAUUGCGCGGAGGCAAGCCUUCCGGAGACGCGCCACUUCGUGCUUCGAGGGCUGCUGUCAGAGAGCAACACUGACGAGUACAUCAAGGCAUUCAGGGUGAUCGAGGUAGAGCUAGCAUUCCUGUACGACUUCUUCUACACCAAGUACGCAUUGAUCUUUGGGAUGGAAGGGUUCUUCUUUCUCAUGGUCCUAGUGAAGAUAGUAUGCGCAUCCACCAUUGGAGUACUUAUGCUCUACAGACCAUUUGCCCAAGGUUUUCCCCAGUGCUGGUACGGUGACAUUGUCAUCAGCCCUAGCCUGACUAGUGUCAACAUCACAGUCGCAAUCAUCGCAAUAUUCCUUACAGUAGAAGCACUGCAGUUCGUACUGUACAUGGGAUCGGAUUGGGCCAUGGUAUCACUCGCCUGCUGCCAUAUCACCGAAGGAAGGCCCCAUGGAUAUAUCCCACUAUCAUUUCGCAAGCUGUUUGGGUUUCUUUUCAGUAGGCAGAGGCUACCGUUAUUCGGGUAUUGGCAGAAUAAACUAGGCCAGUACUCUGUCAUACAAGGCUCCAGAUUCUUCAGCUCUAGCAACCAAUUUGCUUUCGAAUGUAGUGGCCUGACCACGUUCAUCCUUUCCAAAGCCAUUGCUUACCUGGGUCAAUGUGUGGUCAGUCUGUUUUCAAGCCAAGGUCUGCAUUUUGUCAAGUUACCUGAAAUAAUCAAGAGCCAUAUUGGAUCCACACUGAAAUCCAGUACUGACGAUGGUGGCUACCUGACUAACGGGAAAACGUCGUUGCAGCGCAACCAUGUUCUUGGGAAUUUCUCCUGGACAUUGCAGAAUGAGACUCAGACUGAGAGCAUGCUUAUUUGGCACAUUGCAACUGACUACUGCAGCAUCAUGGUGUCUGACGAGGGAAACAGCAGGCAGAUUUCUAAUUCCAGCUAUCGUCAGCACCGUGAGGUGGCAACCAAAUUGUCAUGCUACUGUGCGUACCUGAUGUCUAAUGUUCCCCAGCUGCUUCCGGGGAACUCUGUAGAUACCAAAUUUGUGUUCGACCAAGCUAUGUACCAAGCCAGAGAAGCACUGGGAACCAAGAAGCGUGAUAGAGCUGGAUUGCGGAAUGCCGCCGCCACUGUCAUCAGCAACCAAGAUGAAGGCAGUAGCAAUAGCAUCUUCACCAAAGGUCUCAAGCUUGGAGCUGAGCUUGCGAGCAUACAAGAUGAUUGCCUGCGAUGGAGAGUGGUGGCCGAGUUCUGGGUAGAAACCAUCCUCUACAUUGCACCGUCAGAGAACGCCAAGGCGCACAUGGAGUGCCUACCGCAAGGUGGGGAGUUUCUCACGCACCUCUGGGCUCUCCUCACUCACGCCGGUAUCCUCAGUCGACAGUCGCCACCGGCCGGAGCCGGAGCAAACCCAAGAGGAUGAUGCCAGGCCACUACAUCUACAUGAGAGUAUUCGCUACUGCAGUUCAUGACUGUUGCCUCGUUGUUGUACUGAUGAAGUAGUUCAGUGUUUCAGUCUGCAUCUGUGUUGUCGCUUGUGAUACUCCUGUAUUAUGCCUUGACCUUUGUAGGUUCGGUGUCUUUCUCCCCUAUAUGUUUGUUGUAGGGGGUUGUUUCUCCCUGUUUGUGUGUUGGUGGUGUUUGUGUUCUUUUCUUGCCUCCAUUACUUUGUAACUCUGGGUUACCAUUUGCCGAUUUGGGGAUAGUUCAUUCCCCUGAUGAUUGCCUAAAAAUUGUUGUAUUAUAUUGCUUCCACCAUGACAAAUGGAAGCUCAUGCUUGUGAUUUGCUAACAUAUUUAUUUUAUAUUUUUUAGAGAAAACAAGAGGGAUUGAAGGCCGAUCCCUACUGACAUAUAUUAAAGCAAAGAAAACAAAGUUACAAAAAUGCAUAGAGGCUAAGGAAGAAAUUUAAGAUACAAAGAAGAUGAGACAGAUACACAAGCUGCUCUAGCCAUAAGGAAAUGAAUGGGAGAUAAUUUUUCUUCGCGUGAAGAAUAACUAAGUGGUCUCCUUGAAUAGAAAUUUGAAGCGCUCCAAAGAGGCAGCUUCUCCUCUAAAGAUGAGAUUAUUAAUGACAGUCCGGAUGCUCCAACACAUCAAAGUAAUAUCUCCAUGAAGAAUGAGACUCUUUAACUGUGAUCUGAAACUUUCCAAAGUCUGGAUGAGAUCCAGUGAAGUUGGCACAAGCACCACGAUAUAAUUCAACAAGAUCUAGCAAACCUACAUUGCAAAAAUGGAUGUUCUACUAUUUCCUCACAAGAAUCGCCACAAAGAACACAAUCAAAGGAUUGAUGUAUAUGCUUCCAUUUAAGUAUAUUUCUUGUACUCAGCCUGUCUUGAGCCAACACAUCACGUACUCCAUGACGGCGGCAUCACACGGCACCAUGAUCCUGAGGAGAUAGGAGGACUCAUGAGUGAGCUCGAGAGCCCCUGCGCGGGCGACGGCGAGGCGGCCGGCGUCUCAACGCCCCCGCCCCCGCCUUCUUCGCCGCCCCCGCCUACUCCACCACCACCGCCUCUCCCGCCACCCCCUCCACUUCAACCUGAGCCCCAACACCCUGGUUUUCGCCGCCUUCCGCUGGAGCCGUCAGGUUCGGCGGACCUUGGUGCCUCCGACUGGGUGCCUCAACGGCGUUGCGUCAUCGUGCAGCCUGCGCCCUCCAGGUUUGAGCUUCAGAACCGUCUCCUCUCCGAGCUUCACGAUUGCAUCGUCCCCAACCUCCUGUGCCCCUCGCCGGCCCCGGCGCAGCUCUGGGUAACUCCACCUUCCCUUGACCCCCGGUUCAAUGUUUUCUUCAUCAAGAAUGCUCUCUGCCAUAUGCUUGCACCUCGUCCGAGUCGCCUCUGUGUCCAGCGUCUACUCGAUGCCGUGUUCGUGGUGACGGUCUCUAGCAAGAAGUUCUCCGACGCGUUAGUUGUCGUCGGCGAGCUGCGUGUCGCCGACGUGCGCCUGGUUUUCCACCCUUCCAUGGCUUCGGCCAUGAAAGCGGCGUCCUGUCUACCCCCGUUCUGCGCGAAUUCAAAUCGCCCCGUUCAAACGGCUGCUCGCCCUGACACUGUAAUGGCUGCCAACGGCCCGGCGUUGACAUUCAUUUCGCCCACCUCCUCUCGCCCAUCGGAUUUUCAGGGGAUUCGUCUGGGAACCAUACCACAAAAUCUUUUGAGUGUACCCGUCUGUACCCCUUCGGCUGUGCAGGGUACGAGGGGCGCCGCGCGACGUCCUGUCGCAUCUACUGCGGCAAAGGGAAGCGCCUUCACUGCCCACCAGCCACGCAGCUACCUUGAGGCCGCGCUUUCCCCCGCUGUACCGCAACCCAGGGCGACCAAACCUCCGCCUCCUCUAAACCCUGCUAAGGGCUGCUACCGCUGCCUCGCCUCUGAUCACAAGGUGGACGCCUGCCGCGACCCCAUCCGCUGUCGUCUCUGCCGCGCGUCCGGCCACAAAAGCGACCGCUGCACGAUGAGGCUUCGUGGGCUUCUCCGCGCCGCGGCCCGAAAGCUGCGUGUUCCAGCUUCUGCCCGAGCACGCUCAGCCCCCCCCCCCCCCCCGGCGCCCCUAGACGAGCCUCCGACCGACUUCGCCUUACAACCUACGGCAGACACGCCGAUCGAGCUCUCUCUCAGCGCCUCGGCUGCCUACCACCACGACAACAUGCGGCCAUCUUCUUCCUCUACGCCGGCACCAGUUCCUGACGCCGCGACAGAGGUCCCACCCUGCGUCGACAAGUUCAUCGUUGGCUCGCCCAGGCUGUUGCCGUUGUGCGCAGGGGGACCCGAGCGGUCGUCCACCCUCGCGCUUGACUCCGGCGGCGCCUCGGAGCGGGGCACCCAAAUCGUCAGCGAACCUCAAGCCUCGUCAGGGGAGGAGUACGCCAGCGGGGAAAUGGACUCCGGCUCUGACGCCUCCGGCGAUUCUUGGGAAGAGGGCCGCACACGCCACGCCGAAGCUUGGGUGUCCCCGGGACGUCCUGAGCUCUCCGAGCGCCUGCUGUUCGCCUUCAUCGAGCCGCCGGUGCCCAUGCUAAACGUAAGCUCCUUCAUCCGUGAGGCCCUCCGCUCGGUCGCACCGCUGCUGCCGGUGGACCUUCUACCUUCCUCCAUGGGCGCCAUGUUGCUUCGCUGUGAGUCCCACGAAGCUCGGAACUCCCUCCACCUGCUCGGACCUAUCCAUUGUGGAGGGUCCAUGCUGCAUCUCUACAAGCCGGAAGACACGCCCAACCGCUUCUUCCGUGUGCCCGUCUGGCUGGCGUUUGUCUUCGUCGUUGGCUUCCCCAACGAACAUUGGUACGAGGACAAAAUCAAGGACUGCUUCCGGGGGUUUGCGGAGGUGGCCGAAGUUGACCCUGAGUACCUGACCGGGGAAAACUUUGGUCCACUUCGGCUGCUCCUGGAGGUGAACGACCGCCUCGACAUCCCCCGCGAACUACGCAUCUCAAGCCGCCUUGGCGUCGGCAGGGCCGGAGCAGUUGCCACCGUUAUCCCGAUUAGAGUCUGGCCUCGUGAAUUCCAGCUCGACAGUCGGGGCAACCGAGUCACCUUCUUCGGACCUCCGGCGCCGCCGGGAACGGGGCCCGCUCUAGGGCCAAUGGGUCCCGUGAGCAGCCAACAACAGCUACGCCCACAACCUCACUACUUCAACUUGGGCUUCCCGCCGAACUCCAGCUCUAGGUACGCGGGUAACCUGCAGCGCGCCUUCGACCCUCUUCACUGCUCGGCUGUUUCAGGCACUGCGGCGUCCUCGACCCCGGCUGUCCAGGUCAUGGCCAGUGCCUUGCUGCUGGCGAGACUCAUGGCCGGCCCUCCGGACGGUGCUGCCUCGGCAAGGGAGGGCUCGCCGGUCUCAUCGGCGCCGCGCGGGCCUCAGCCGUGCGCCGACCCCGGCCAGGCUGCGGUCGCUCAAAGGCCGCUCAUCACUUACCAGAGGCGUCAACGGUUGCCCAAAGCAGCGCACGCUUCAAGCAAGGCGUGCAAGGUCCAGUCAAGGGCCUGCCGUGAGUCGCCCGUGAAAGGUCCGCGCCGUUCCAGCAAGCGCCUGGCUGCCAAGGCGACGGACCACUACAUCGACAUGACUUCACAGGCUGUUCAGUGCAAGGCGCUCUUCAACUCCCUCUCCACCUGCUCUCUCUCUCUAAAGGCGCAUGUCAAGAAGCGGAACAUCCUCUCCCGCAACCUACUGCCCCUGGGAGCGGCAGAACUGCGCAAGCUCAUCUCCGCAGCCAAGAUUGGCAACGGCGGCGACACUGGUGCAGCGGCAUCGGGCGUCACGGUGCCUGCGGUGGCUGAAUGAUCACUCCUAAACGCUUCCACCCCACUGGCGGCUUGCACCCAGGCGCCAACGGCCGCUGGCACGCUCCCAGCCGAAGUGCACCUACCUGUUCUUCUACUAUUUUGGCUUCGCAAUGGCCUUUUGUUCUAUCCAGGUGUUGUAACGUUAACGCAUGAACUCGAGCUUGUUUUCUCGCUGCUUUCACGUUGUGUCUUGGAACGUUAGAGGCUUGGGCGACUCGGACAAGUGCAAAAUUGUGCGCAAUGUGUUCUCUGAUGCUAACCCGCAUGUCAUCUGCAUUCAAGAAUCUAAGCUGUCUAACACUGACUUCUUCAAAGCCCAAACUUUCCUUCCUCAACCUUUAUCCUCCUCGUUCGUGGCCGUUCCGUCUGAUGGCUCGCGUGGAGGACUGCUCACUGCAUGGGAUCCGUCCCUCUUCACCAAAAACUCCCACUUCUCCAACUCCUACUCUUUAACAACCUCCUUCUCUUGCAAUGCCUCCAACCUCGAUUUCUCAAUCACCAACGUGUAUGGCCCUUCGGACCACACCUUCUCCCUCGCCUUCCUCCAAAACCUCAAAGAUGUCAGCAACGCGGUCUCGGGGCCUUGGAUUCUCCUGGGAGAUUUCAACCUCGUUAGAUGCGCUCAGGACAAAAGCAAUGGCCGGAUCAAUUCGGCCCUUGCCGACGCCUUCAACCAAACGCUACAACAACUCGUCGUGUCCGAGAUUCACCUUUCCGACCGACGUUUCACCUGGUCCAACAAACAGAGCUUCCCGAUCUUGGCUAAGCUGGACAGGGUCUUCACAAAUGUUGCCCUUGACCUCGCCUUCCCGAUGGCAGGUCUGACCUCCCUGCCCAGGCCAACCUCCGAUCACACCCCUUUGCUCCUCUCGCUCACCACCAACAUUCCCAAAGCGACAUCCUUCAAACUCGACAACCACCUGCUUAAAAACCAAAGCUUCCUGAGCUCCGUAACCUCGGCUUGGCAGCAGGUUGCACCCUGCAGUGAUGCCACAGGGCACCUAGUCACUUGCAUCAAGGCCACCCGGGCCGCGGCAAAGGUUUGGAAACGGCGUUACAGGGCGCCACCACAAAUCCUACAAAACUGCAAGUUUUUAAUCCAACUGUUUGACUUCUUUGAGGAAACAAGAUCUUUGUCCACCGGCGAGUUUCAGGUACGGUGUCAAGCACAAGAACGUCUGCAUGAAGAGACCAAAGCAAGGGCCGCCUACUGGCGCCAAAGAAGCAAGCAAAAAGCAAUUAAGGAAGGCGAUUCAAACACUGCCUACCACCAUGCCCAUGCAACCAACCGCAUGCGUCGUAAGUUUAUCAGGAUGAUAAAGGUGGACGAUCAAGAAAUCGCCAGCCAUGCAGGCAAAACACAGGCUCUCUCCACUUACUUCAAGUCCAUCAUCGGGGUUCAAGGAAUGGCACUUGACAUGGACCUGCAAUCUAUCUAUGUGGGUUCUGAAAGGCCAGGGAGCGACCUGAUAAGGGAGUUUUCAGAAGGCGAGCUCAAGCAUUCAGUUUGUCAGAUGAAUCAGCUCAGUGCACCGGGACCGGACGGUUUUGGACCUGCUUUUUUCAGGGUGGCAUGGCACACAGUCCGGACUCAAAUCUUGGCCUUCGCCGAAGCUUUCCACAGAGGGACAGCUGAUCUGGAGCGCAUCAAUCGCUCAUUCAUAGUACUUCUGCCAAAGAAGCCAGAUGCGGUCGAAGUAGAUGCUUUCAGACCGAUUUGCCUUCAGAACACGGCACUUAAGAUCAUCUCAAAGGCUCUUACUACUAGGCUUCAACUUGAGAUUCCGAAGCUUAUCGACAUUCAUCAGACAGGAUUUGUGAAAGGAAGAUCAAUAGCCGACACCUUCGUCUAUGCACUAGAGCUUGUUCAGACCUGCCACAAGAGGAAAAGGCCUGCAAUUGUACUCAAGCUCGACUUCGCAAAGGCUUUUGACACCGUAAACUGGGCAGGGCUGGUUUCAGUCCUUCAAGCAAGGGGCUUCCACCAGAGGUGGAUCGAUUGGAUGCUCAGUCUCCUAGCGUCCUCCAAAUCUGCCGUUAUUGUGAAUGGUUGCCCGGGUCCUUGGAUUAACUGCAAGCGAGGACUGAGGCAGGGGGACCCUCUGUCCCCAUACCUGUUUCUUCUGGUGGCUGAGACUCUACAACGUAUGAUCAAUAAAGCAGAUGAAAUCAGACAUCCAACGGAAGGCAACCUCCCCUGUGCUGUCCUUCAGUACGCCGAUGAUACCCUGAUUGUGUUCAGAGCUGAAGCCUCGGCAGCAAUCAAAUUGAAGGAAAUCCUGGAUCAGUUUGCAGCCAUGUCUGGCUUGCACAUUAACUUCAGCAAGAGCACUCUGGUACCGAUUCAUGCAGACGCCCGGUUGGUGCAACAAUGUGUUCAGGUGCUGGGCUGCAGUGAGGGCUCCUUCCCGCAGCAGUACUUGGGACUUCCGCUAUCGGCCAACAAGCUGCCUGUUUCUGCCUUCAACAUAUAUAUACAAAAAACCGACAAGUUUCUUGCAUCCUGGCAGGCUGACCUGUUAAACCCUAUGGGAAGGCUUGUCUUGGUCAAUUCGGUUCUUGACUCAAUCCUUGUCUACUUGAUGAGCUCAGCUUCCUGCGACAGCAGUGCACAGCAUGGAUAAGAAAAGGAGAGCAUUCCUCUGGUCUGGGGAUAAGGCGGGAAUCGCGACACCGGCGAACUGCCUGGUUGCCUGGACAAGUGUCUGCAGCCCCAGGGAGUGCGGCGGCCUGGGAGUCAGGGACUUGGGGGUCCAAAACAUCUGUCUUCUACUGAAACUGCUUCACAGACUGCAUUGCCCCCAAUCUUCCGCAUGGGCUGAAUGGGUGCAGCGUCGGGCUUCAAUAUCAACUCUGACCGGUGAACUGCAUGGGGAUCACUGGCAGACCUUGCGAUCCAUCAUCCCUCUAUACCAGGCGAUCACCACUGUUCAAGUCGGCGAUGGAAAAUGCACCUCGUUCUGGUACGAUGUCUGGAACGACAGUGACGAAGCUCUGGCUGAUAGGUUCCCUGCACUUCUGUCACAUUGCUCUUCCAAACAUGCCACGCUUUGGGAGAUCAAAUCCUCGGGCCUACAGUCUGCUUUGGUCCCCCGUCUCUCAACAGCAGCGGAAAAUGAGCGGCAACUGGUGCUUCAGGUCAUCGAAGAAACGGCCUUAUCUGAAACCCAUGACAAGAGGAUCUCACCUUUCAUCAGGCCUGAUAACAGCCUUGACAGCGGUGCACUCUACAAGAUGAUCAAAGCUAGAGGCCAGGGAGACAGCCCGCGGGCAACCUUCGUUUGGCAGAACCUGGCUCCGCCGAGAGUGCGACUGUUUUUGUGGCUACUAACACAACGGAGAAUUCAGUGUCGUUCGGUGUUACAAAGAAAAGGCAUUGUUGAUUCCGCAACUUGUGAGGUCUGCAGUGCUGCGGACGAAACGCCUGAACAUAUCAUCCAUGGUUGUGCUCUCGGCCGAGACGUUUGGGCGAGCUUGAACCUACAGUCCAUAGUCUCAGUGGACAUGGGCGAGCUUCACUCAUUCAAAGGUCAUCCUUCGAACUAGAUUUCAGAGCUACCUUCCUUCCUGACCUUGGUUUGCUGGAACAUCUGGAAGGCAAGGAAUGCGAAAAUCUUCAGGAACCAAGCUCAAACGGUACAUCAUGUGCUUCAGGAAUGCAUCUCCGCUUCCAUUCUGUGGAGGCACAGAUUUCCAAUGAAGAAAAGAAUCGUCUCCGACCAGUGGUGCUCCAUUCUACAAAUGGCCAGAGCAGGGCUUACCUAAUUCCGGGGCUUAUACAAAAGCAAGGAGAUGGCUGUCAUCUUCUGUUUCCUGUCUUCCUCCAACUUGUUUCCUCUGCUUCUUCGAUAGCUCUCACUAGCUCUAGUUGGUUUUACUCUAGCAACAAACGUUGCUCUGCAUCUGUAACAACACAAUCGUGCGAGCCGAUUCUGGGCUAAAAUAAUUUUAAACAGGUGGGGAACGUCUCCCCCCCGUUGACCGUUAAAAAAAAAGCCAGAAAAAGACUUUAUGUUUGUGUUGGCAGCAUGAUCUCCAGGUCCACUUAAAGACAGGGUGAACAUUACAAGUUUCCAUUAGAUGCUUGUAAGCUUUUGACGAAGAAUAAGAAUUAGAGGCCCAAAUGUAAUUCCAGAUAUCACUAUCCUCAGACUCUGGUAAACUCUGGAUAGCAGAUUCUAGCAAAAAGUAUUCUUUCAAAAAAAACUAAGGGCCAAGUAGCUUUAGAAUUCCCUCUAUUAUUACUGCCAGCCCCUUUCCAAAGACAGUUUUUCCUAUAUUUAUCUAUCUGACCUAUCACAGUGUCUUGUAAAGCAAAGGUGCACAUGAAAAAGGUUGGAAGUGCAGUGAAAACUGAAUUCGUUAUCUAGAGCCUUCCAACUAAAGAAAGAAAAAUGAAGGUCCUAACAAACCUUUUUCACAUCUUGAGAUGAGUGGUAAGUAAUCAUUGGUCCUUGUCUUGGUGGAGCCCAAAGGCAAACCAAGAUAAGUAAAAGGCAUACUUCCAGUAGAACACCCAUAGGUGAGAGCAAGAUGCUUUAGUUUCUCAGGGCUCAUGUUUAUGAUAAUCAUCAAUGACUUCUUGAAAUUAACUUUCGGUCCAGUUGAGAGAGUAAAAGAAUUCAGGAGAGCCUUCAUGACAAAAAGUUGCCUUCCACAUCCUCCAAGAAUAGUUAAUGUAUCGUCAGCUAGUGUAAGAUGGGGAAAUCUAAGGAAUACUGAAGGCGAACUCGCAAAUUGAGAAGUGCUUGUUCUUUGGCUCUAUUAAUUAUAUACUGCAGCAAGCACAAAUAGGAGGGGGGAAAGAGAAUCCACUUGUCUCACACCCUCUUGCAAUGAGAUUGUUUUCGACUUCUGCGAGUAUAUAGUCCAUCAUAUAGUGCUACUGGACCUGUUCUCGUACUCGGGUUAUGUACCUUUGUUUGCUUUCCUCUUAAUGAAAAACGGGCACCAACCCGAUAAAAAAAAGCAGGAAUAAAAUUACUACUCACGACUAAUUAAAAUUCCUGAUUUUUGCGUGACCGCACUCUCUCUUCAUUUCGAACACAAUACUCAAUACCCGCAUAGAUAAUCUACAAUAUUUAUCCUCAUGUAAUAAAUUUAUUAUUAAUUAUUCAAGGUUGUUUGUUCCCAGCCAUAAUUUGCCACAGCAAACUUCAGACAAUUAUGGCUAAAAUAUUUGGAGCCACGUUUUACCAUGCCUACGGAAAUUGUCACUUUUUUCUUUCUUUUUUUUCUCUAUGACACGUGGAUCCCACAAAAGUCUUACCAGUCAAACUAUCUAAGAUGAAGUGUGUGGCUAGCUAGAAACCAAACAUCCCCUAAAGUCUAUCAUCCCAUACUCCGGCACGACGUAGAAUGUCAGGUUAUAUAAGUAUUACAAUUUUCGUUCAUAAAAAAAAUGUAAGUAUUACAAUUUUUGUGGAUAACUUUAGUAGGUAAAAUUAAGUUAAGUUGAUUCUUUACUCUCUUGUUUCCUAAUUGUUAGGGCCAUAUGCCCUUCAUGGGUUCUCCUGUUCAUUUUGCUAACCCAUGCUCGGCUUGACAAUACUCACAACUUACACUCUAUUUGGCACUGCUCCAAUUUACUAAUGGAGCUAUCUUUUUAGCUUCAGCCUUACGACCAGCUCUGCUGAUGGAGCUGAAGUUAUUUUGAUUACCUAUUUGGUAAAACAACUCCCAUGUUAGAAAAAAAAACAAAAUAACCAUAAUAUUCUUCUCUACAUUUUUUCUCAUAUUUUCUCCUCUAUUUCCUUCCUCUCUAAUCGACUCGACCCUUCCUCUAAGCACGGCCAUCUUCUUCAUCACAAAAUGGGCAACGGCGCCCGCGAGCUCCCUGACAACCUAUGCCUACUUGUGUGCGCCACGGCGGCUACACCCGCACGUCGUGCUCCAGCAAACAACUCGUUGCUCGGAACAUACCACCAGAGAUCUGGAGCAUCAAGAAGCUGGAAAUGUUUGUUGUGGAGAUGAACAACCUCACGGGACAUCUGGUGGUUGACGGCUUUGAGGCGAUGAGCUUGAUCGUUACAGCAUCUCCAAUGGUAGGAACCCUAAACUACUUAUUGGCUACAAAACUUUUUUUGAGGGUUUUCAAAGGCUCUAUCUCUAGCAGAAUGAGAAAAAUCUCAUUCUCAGGCCUUGUUUACUUCCCCAAAUAUUUUGCAAAAUAUUCAGGAUUCUCCGUCACAUCGAAUCUUUCGGCACAUGCAUGGAGCAUUAAAUAUAGAUAAAAAAAUAACUAAUUGUAUAGUUCGUAUGUAAUUUGUGAGACGAAUAUUUUGAGUCUAGUUAGUCCAUAAUUGGACAACAAUUAUCAAAUACAAACAAAAAUACUACAGUAGCAUUUUGCAAAAAAAAAAUCAAGAAGUAAACAAGGCCUCAAUAUAUUGUUUAAUAUGUGGUGUGUACUUGUCAUUCUAACUUCCCCACUGCUUCUUUUUCUCCCUAUAAUCUGAGCGACAUUGACAUCCGCCGUCACCACGACUCCUCCGUCGCUCCUCUCCCCACUGACUUCUUUAUUUCUCCCUUCCACUCCUAUCAACGCAUCCACCCCUCCUCUUCCUAUCCCACUACUUGAAGACUCCUCCCAUCACUCAAGUUGCAGCAAAGGCCUUCUUCCCUGGCCCCAGUCAUGGCACCCGCGGCUAACUCCUCCCCUACCAGCGGCCUAUUUCUCUCCCUAGCGACGUAUGGCAUCACCACCGCAAGUGGAUCUGGUGCGGCAUGAUGCGGAGGAGCUCCUCCAUCUCCAUCGCCAGCACCGCGAGCCUACCAGCACCAACAGCGUACGACACCACCAUCGCUCCUAGACCUAGCGCGGCAGUUGGAGCUCACAUCAAAAAUCUCAGGCAUUGGCGGGAGAGAGAUUUCCCUUGUCUUUGAGGGGUUGGAAGAUGGUUUUCAAGGUACUAAGGAAAAAAAAUCUCAUUGGGAUGCGAAUGGGGAUCUACUGGAGCUCUCAAAUCCAUCAAAAUAUAGGUUUUUCUAUCUACUGGAGCUCUCAAAUCCUUCAAAAUACAGGUUUUUCUCGUUGGGGAUAGGAAUUAGUGUACUGCUGAAGAUGCUCUUAUCUCCAUCUUAAAAGAACCACCUUACUGGUACCAUCCUGGAAACCUUCGGUCACUUGAAGAACCUCGCUGACUUAUACCUUACAGCAACAACUUCAUCGGUGAGAUACCCGUGAGCAUCGAUCGGUUACCGUCAUUCAAUAACAGGCUUCCUGGUAUGCUCCCGGAAAAACUCGGCAAGUACUCACCAGUAUUUUCAGCCAUGGCUUUUCAAACCAGCGAGUCAUGACUGAAAAUACUGUUUACUGAUUUGUUAUAAAAGAAAAACAGAAAAAAUACGGCAUAUAAAACAAGCAAACAGGCUUCGCUACUCACUGCAUCAAGCAACCGCUUGAAUGGCUCCAUCCCACUGAAGCCUCGCUCGCUGUGCCUCUGAAAUAUCUAAUCCUAGACAGCAACCAGCUCUCCGGCGACAUACCAACAGAUUUGGCGAUGGCACACCAUUGCUUAAGCAACUGAAGCUGGCCAACAAAAAACUCUCCGGGAGGAUCUGUUAAGCUAAUCUGCAGAAGCUCCGUCGACGUACCAACUUCCCAGGUGACUAUGUACGCUUGAGCACAAAUAUUUUACACGAUGAUCAUCCUAAUCUCUUUUACACCUUGUAAUCUUCACUGUUACCAUAUAAAUUGCCUUUCAGAAGUCCAGAUCCCUAAAUUGGGGACGAUUUGAGAUGCGUGACGACAUGGACCUAACCUAACCUGUGCAAUAAUGUUACUACUACCCUAUAGAUGGUGAUAAACCAAAAGGAUCAAUUAAAAAAUGCUAUACUGCAGUGCAGGUCAUCAACCGACUCUUUCAAAUCAGUUCAUGCCCCAACAGUCUUUUGCUUCUUGGCGGUAUUAAUAUAGGGCCGCAGCACAAACUCGCUUUGCGCUUCAUUUUGUUCCACAGCUCCUAGUUUGAUCUGUCAGGCAAGCGCGAUAAACAUGUUAGUACCAGCAACCAGUAUUUGUGCCUCAGAAAAUGUGGUAAUGACCAGAUGCCGAGUGUUCCUGAUACCUGGUACAGCCGCAACUCAAAACGAGGACCAACCUCCUUCAACUCCAUCGAUCCGGGGCCGCCAGAUUUUUCGUAUACAUGAUGCCUUGCAUAUAACAAAACAAAAGGAGCUGUCAGUCAUAUAUGCAUAAAAGCUUCUCAGGAAGCAGAGCACAUACACAGUUACACACUAGUGCAUGACAGAAAUAUUGUACCUGAAAGAUAUGUACUCGUCUCUGUUGGCAAAAGUAAUUAUUCGCUUUGAAUCUGGCUUUGGCAUAAGAAAGAGGUGCUUGAGAAUAGUGGCAGUCCUUUCACCAACCUAGAAUACAAAUAGCAAGUUACCAAACUGUCAUGAACAAAGAUAGAAUACAAGGAUGGCUAACCUCUGCAGAAAACAAAAAAACAAGCUACUCUCCCUAGUAAAACUCUAAAGAGUGUUUAAGUUCCUACAAUCCAAUCUAAGUACUCUAGCAAUCAACCAGAGCCCAGAAUGCCUCCCGCCAACAUCAUCCAAAUUUGAGAUUUCUACAUGCUAACUCAAGCAGACAGAAAGUGAUGGUCAGAUCCAUAUUUGAGAUUUCUGCAUGCAAAAUCAAGCAAACAGAGAGCGAUGGUCAGAUGUCAAGUGUUUCAAGCUAAAUCAAGCAGUAUAUGUAAGUGGAGAUGCUCAGCUUAGAAGGUUUGAAUGGACUGAGAGUAGUCUUCACAGUAGUAACUAACUACAUCUCACGUUAAUGGUUAACAAGAAAAACAUCAUCAAAACCUGAAUUCUGCUCAUAUAUUAGGAUUCACAUGCAAUCCUAUCAAAUUCAGAACCCAACAAACCAGACCCCCACCUAACAAAAGGACAAGAAAUAAAAGGAAAAGUAAAACAUAUCAAAUACAACUGAUAGUGGAGAUUCUCUUGUUCAAAAAAAAGGUGGAAAUUCUCAGUCUUUGAAUCAUGAAUGGAUUCAAGUGUCAUCAAUGGAAAAAAUGUCUCAGGUUAACGAGAAAGACAUCACUGCACAACCCACAACACUGAAACAAGAAUGAAUAGCAAGCACAUCACAUUCACAGGUUAAUGAGACAAAUAUCAUCACAACAUAGGAGUUCUGUGGAUAUAUUAGGAUUCACAUGCAAGAUGUAACUCUGUUCAAUUUGAACAAAGAUUGACAGAACUAAACGGAGACGCCAAAAAAAAAUAGAACAAGGACAGAGAAACAUAGCAAACAAGUGACAGUGGAGGUUCUGAGCCUUGAGUUAUGAAUGGAUUUAGGUGUCUUUCAUGGAAUAAAGAUGUAUCAGGUUAACAAGAAAGUCAUCAUUGCAACGUCCCAAUAUUGUAAAAUAGGCAUGCACAUGCUGGGAUGCAGCAAGGCACAAAAGCGAAUGAAAAAGAUGGUUACAAAAGAGUGACACCCUCAACUUGUUAUAUCUUCAACAAUACCAAUGCUGCUCAGUUAUAGUUUUUGAAUGGAUAGAUGCUAUCCUCAUAGUAUGUCUCAGGUUAACGAGAAGUCCAUCAUGGCAGCCAUACAAAGCACUAAGCAAACUACAAACUGUAAUGUGAACACUUGCUUGCACUUAAACAAAGUUAACGUCAUGUUUUAUGUGACCAGGAAUGUAUUUUAGAAUGGAACUAUUGAGAAAUUAACCAAUGUACAACAUAGACAAGUCAACAAAACAACAAACUUGCUUGGAAACAGCAGCGGAAGCAGAAAAUGAAGCAAACAAAGCAGUAGCAGCAGCAGAUUAUGGAACUGGAGGUGCUCAGCAUCUUAUUAUUCAAAUCAUCAUCAUCAUAGUAGCAAUGUAUGCUUAACAAGAAGCUGUCAAUGGGAGGGAGGGAUGCAUGCAUGGAUAGAUAGAUACAUAUAUAUAUAUAUACACACACACAAACACACAAAGAGUGUGUUAGAGAGAGAGAGAGAGAGAGGAGAAUUCUUGAAAAGAUAUCAUCACAGCAGCCUCCAGUUCAUAAUGACUGCAUGGAUAUCCUCCUAAUAAUGGACAUGGAUUCCAUGCAAGUAAGCAAAAAGAUAAACAAAAACACCAUGGUAACCACUGCCACCACCACGCCUCACCAUAACCAGCCCCACAGACACUUCAUCGUAAGUAUGAAGUUGUUUACCCUGCUAUGGAAAGGCGUGACUUUUCAAGAACACAUAGUGAACAGGUCACCAUGACAACAAUGAUAAGGCAUGAAGGCAAAACGAUCCUGUCAGAACCCAACAAACCAGACCCCCACCCAACAAAAAAGACAUGAAAAUAGAAGGAAAAGCAAAACAUCAAGGCCAAGUGAAAGUGGAGAUUCUCAGUCUUUGAGAUAUGAAUGGAUUUAAGUGUCUUUCAUGGAAAGAACGUCUCAGGUUAACGAGAAAGACAUCAUUGAAAACUUCCAACAUUGUAAAAUAGCCUUGAGUUAUGAAUGGCCGAAUGGGUUAGGUGUCUUUCAUGGAAUAAAGAUGUAUCAAGUUAACAAGAAAGACAUCAUUGAAACCUUCCAACAUUGUAAAAUAGGCAUGUACAUGCUGGGAUGCAGCAAGGCACAAAAGGCAAAUUAAAAGAUGGUUACAAAAGUGUGCGACACUCUCAACUUGUUAUGUAUUCGGAUAAUAUCGAUGCUGCUCAGUUAUAGUUUUUGAAUGGAUAGAUGCUAUCCUCAUAGUAUGUCUCAGGUUAACGAGAAGUCCAUCAUGACAGCCACACAAACUGUAAGCAAACUACAAACUGUAAUGUGAACAUUUGCUUGCACUUAACAUGAUGUUUGAUGUGACCAGCACUAUAUUUUGGAAUGGGACUAUUGUUAAAUUAACCAAUCUACAACAUAGGCAAAUCAACAAAACAAGAAACUUAGCUUGGAAACAGCAUCGGAAGCAGAAAAUGUAGAAAGGAAUAACGCAAUAGCAGCAGCAGAUUAUGGAACUGGAGGUGCUCAGCAGCUUAUUAUUCAAAUGAAUAUCAUCAUCAUACUAGCAGUGUAUGCUUAACAAGUAGGUCUCAAUGGGAGAGAGGGAGGGAUAGAUUGGUAAUAUAGUGUAUAUCUAGGUGCAUAGCAAAAGCUAUGUAUCUAGAAAAGCCGAAAUGACUUAUAAUUUGGAAUGGAGGGGGUAUACAUGCGCACGCGCACGCGCACACACACAGACAGACAGACAGACAGACAGACAGACAGACAGACAGAGAGAGAGAGAGAGAGAGAGAGAGAGAGGUUCUUGGAAAGGCUAUCAUCAUGGCAGCCUCCAGUUCCUAAUGGUUGCAUGGAUUUACAUGCCAGUAAGGAAUAAACAAAUAAGAAAAAAAAACACCAUGGUAACCACUGCCACCACCACGCCCCGCCAUCACCAACCCCACACACACCAGAAUUUUCAUUGCAGGUAUGAAGUUGUUUACCUUGCUAUGAAAGUGCGUAACUUUCAAGCACACAUAGUGAACAGCUCACCAUGACAACAAAGAUAAGGUAUGAGGACA